RNAcentral lists this long non-coding RNA (71847 nucleotides) under Sorghum bicolor (sorghum). RNAcentral's name for it is "long non-coding RNA (SBIC_LNC005629)". The stretch from base 14676 to 14878 matches the Rfam family "MIR1435 microRNA precursor family". The record is from RNAcentral. Lineage: Eukaryota; Viridiplantae; Streptophyta; Magnoliopsida; Poales; Poaceae.
CAGGUCUCGUCGACGUACUGCACGAUGACGAGCGACUCGCACACCGGGCGGCCGCCGUGGAUGAGGACCGGCACCUUCUUGUGCACCGGGUUGGACCGGAGCAGGAGGUCGCUCUUGCCGAAGAGGUCCUCCUCGACGUACUCGUAGUCGUAGCUGCUGAGCCCCUUGAGCCCCAGCGCCACCUUGGCGCGGACCACGUAGGGGCUGUACCACGAGCCCAGCAGCUGCAGCUCGCCUCCGGCCGCCAUUGCAGUAGCCUUGCACUUGCAGGCGGCUUUGUUGUUCGACGCUGUUGGAAUUGUCGAUAGUUUUCACGAUUUGCGUUGAGCGAAAGGGGCGAACAAUCAUCGUAUAUUUAGGCCUUGUUUAGUUCCUGAAAAAAAAAAAUUUCAUCAUACUGUAGCACUUUCGUUUGUUUGUGGUAAUUAUUGUUCAACUAUGUCAAAAGAUUUGUCUCGUAAAUUUCGACCAAACUUUGCAAUUAGUUUUUAUUUUUAUCUUUAUUUAAUACUUUAUGCAUGUGUUUAAAGAUUCGAGGUGACGGAAAAUCUUGAAAAAUUUUGCGUUUUUUUGGUGGAACUAAACAAGGCCUUAACUGAGCUGGGUUAGGUAGUCAAACUUUGAAUCGUUGACUGGUGAACCGACGUUGCUAAUCAGCGGGGCUGCCGGGGCAGCAGGCAGGCAGCGAUUUUCGUCAGCUCUGUCGUGAGCAGAGGAAAAAGCACAGAUCGUAAAGUGGACAGCUGGCCAUUGAAGGAAUCAUUGAGGAUAGUAAACAACACUAAUCUGUCUCGAUUCUUCUAAAACCAGCAAUUUAUACCUUGUUUAGUUCGCAAAAAUUUUCAAGAUUUCCCGUCACAUCGAAUCUUUGGUCGCAUGCAUGGAACAUUAAAUAUGGAUAAAAAUAAAAACUAACUGCACAGUUUACCUGUAAUUUGUGAGAUGAAUCUUUUGAGCCUAGUUACUCUGUGAUUGGACAAUGUUUGUCAAAUAAAACCGAAAUGCUACAGUACCCAAAAACAAAAAAUUUUGCGAACUAAACAAGGCUUUUUUUCUGCGGGUGACCCUACAGGGCUACAUCAGUGCGUACAUCCUAGCCGAUUGACACAACUUGGAGAAGAUCAGAGCAAAUCAAUCCCAUGGCCACAUCGAAUCCGACCAUAACGGUAUGCCGACAAAUUUCUUUUCACCCUAUCCACUAUUCUCAAAGUUUAAUUUUCAUCCCUCUGUCUAUAAAACCGCACGUUAGUCCCUUCAACUUUUAAAAUGAUUGGUUUUGGUCUCUGGACGGUUCAAACAACGAUUUAGUUUACAUGACAUCACAUUAGCCGUCGUCCUUAUCGCCGUGUCAGUAGCAAGAAGGUAAAUGUGUUGAUAGUUCAGAAUGGUAAAUUGGUUACAAAUACAUUUUUAAAAUUAUCUAAACAUUUUUAUAAAAGAUAUACAAUUAAAAGUCCUAAAAUCUUGUUUAAUCUUAAAAAAUACAAAAAUAAAUUAUUUUAGCUAAAAAACUGAAACCAGUUAUUUUAAAAAUGCUAUAUCUUAUUGCGUCUAGGUUGAAAUUACUUGAAGUUCUAUAACUUUUUUAGUAUUUAUUUGUUAGUAGCUGUUCUAUUAACUAGACCAUAUGAGACUAGAGCCUCUCAACACUCAAUUUGUUUUGAUUGCCGGAUCUAAAAUCAAGAUCUCAGAUCAAAUCACUCGCUCUACCUAUUUUGUAGGGGGGGCGUCCUUAUUUUUUUGGAGUGCAUUCUAUGAAAUGCUACCAACUAAUUAAAAUAUAAUUGGAUUUUGAUGAAGAGUUGAUAAGCAUCAAUUCACCACUUACAUUACAAGCUAGGAGCUAAAAAAACUCUACUGCCCACCACUCUAAUUCACUCAUCACCCAGAAUCAUUUCACCAGCUCAAUAUCUUGCUCCCCCACAAGAAUUACUCUACAAGAGAAUCAAUGAGUGGAGCUCUACUAAAUUGGAUCCUUCCCCUUCUUCUUUCACCAUUCACACUGACCGUGCCCAUCUGUGUCACUCGCCAUUGCCACCUUCACCUCCCUUCCUAGUUCCGGUGGUGCCCUUUUCGACAGAUUCACUGUCCUCCAUCACAACCCAUCGCUAUAAUCAAUCACAAAUCAGCGUUAUAAUCAAUCUGACAUGCCUCCUUCCUGCCAUCUCCUUAUCUGCAUUCAUUCCCCCGCCUUCAAACCCCUCCUAUUGGCUUCAGUGGUGCCUCACUGCCUUCGUCAGCGUUCAUGACCGUUCCCACGCUAACCGACUAGCUCUGGCAUGCUAUCAACAUUAGAAGUUUGACGCCACUGCUAGGUUGGCUUGCUCCUCCCCUAAUACCUAGAUUUCCUUCUACCUGCUAGAUUCUUUUCGAACCCUGAACAUCGAAUCCCUAAACCCUAACCGCAGCACUCAUCGAGGCUGAGAAACAUGUCGGAGAAGGAGGAGAAACAAGGUUGGUGUUUGACGAUUGGUAGUGCUCCAUCUACAGCCAAAAUAGUUUCAAUUAUAGCUUUUGUAAUGAAAUAGUUUUCUUGUCUCCAGCUUCACUAGUUAGAUUUCUCUAUUUCCCUUAUCUUCUUCCUCGUCCUAGAGCCCGUUUGCAGCCUGCACAACACCCCUCUGCUUCCCCUGCCCAUGCCCAUCUCUAUUCUUGUCUUAUUGCCUUUUCCUCCGCCUACCUCCAUUUGCUGCCCCCCUCCUACUAUGCCGCUAUCCGCUUUUAUCUCCUACUCCAUUGCUUGCUCCGCAUCCAUUGGCCAUGCUUCUCUGUCUUGGGCGCUCAACCCUCGUGCCUCAUCUCCUCAUUUGUCUAGGCUGGAGAUAAUUUGUCCCUAGGGCCACGAAUACGAAGACGAAGCCUAAGGAAACCACUUUGUUUAGCUCCGUCUCGCAUUUUUUGCUACUCCCAAUGCAACUUGUGGGUGAGGCAGCUCAAGCUGUUGCUCAUCUUCCCGUUUAGUUGGAGUCAAGAAGCUAGAUAUAGAGCGGCUAACAAAGCGCUACCAAACAUAUCCUUAGAUUAAUAAAAGACACGAGUCUGAAAUUAGAAAUCCAUUUCAAUACAUGGUGAUGCUUUGAACAUAUCACCAUCGUAGGCCUUAUUACACAAUUUUUUUUAAAAAAAAAUCAUCUGACACCAAAUAUAUUUGUCCAAAUACAAAUACUGAACUUUUAACUGGCGGGAUCUUAUUUAUUUAUUUGGUUCCAACUGACCAACUCACUGAAGCACUGAACGUAUCCACUAUCCAGCAUAGUGCAUCCACAAUCAAGUAGAUUUACAGAUACAUAUAGUCAUAUUCAGUACGUUCAGGUAGAACCAGCGGCCGCAAUCCAUUUAGCCCGAAACCCCUUGUACUGCUCCAGGACCUUCCCCGCGUCCGGCGUCACCUUCUUCACGGCGUCCACGGCCACGAACCGCUCCGCCCACGCCGCCAAGCCCGGGAACUUGGCCCCGUCCAGAAGGUCGGUGCCUCCCACCUCGUCUACCACUCUGAUCCAAAUCAGGUGGCUCCCGAGCGCGAUGUCCACGAUCCCGACGGCGUCGCCGCCGAAGAACGCCUUCCCCCUGGAGCACUCCGCGAACGCCCGUUCCAACGUCUCCACCGCAGGGACGGCGCUCUGGAGCGCCUCCGCUCUCUGCUCGUCCGUCAGCGAUCUGAACAGCACCCUAAACGCCGGAAAAAACUACAAACAGAAGAUUGAAGCGCUGAUAACUUGAUAAGCCAUGACUGAAAAAACAUCAGCGAACAUAGCGAGGCUGAUCUGAUCGAAGGCCAGAAAAUCGAUUCGUUUCCUCUGCUGCUUACCUUGUCGUUGACGUAGGCCGCCCAGAACCGUGCCGUGGCGCGGUCGUAGGGGUCGGCUGGGAGGAGCGGAGGAGGACCGGUCGUCGUCGGCCACGACUCGUCGAGGUACUGCAGGAUCACGAGCGACUCGCGCACCGGGCGGCCGCCGUGGAUGAGGACCGGCACCUUCUUGUGCACCGGGUUGGACCGGAGCAGGAGGUCGCUCUUGUUGGCGAGGUCCUCCUCGAGGUAGUCGUAGCUCAGGCCCUUGAGCCCCAGCGCCACCCUCACUCGGAUCACCCAUGGGCUCGACCAUGUGCCCAGCAGGAGCAGCUCGCCGCCGGCUCCUGGCGCUGCCAUUGCAGUUUGCAGAGGUUUGCUUCGUGGUAUCGUGUGCCGCUGAGUGGUGGUGGGGAUCGAGUUGUAUAUGUACGAGUGUAUGAGGUGAUGACCAAGGUUUGACUAGCAGCAGCGAGUCGAGAACUCGAGAUUCAUGUGGGCGACUUGGAAUUUGUGGGUGGUCCUUUCUCGUCGCCAGUCGCCACUGCUUGUUGGAAAAGAGGUGCCGCGAUUGCGCCAGCGCUGUCGUGUUUUAGGAAAGGAUGUUCUGCGCGCCCAUUGUGCCCGUGGAGGAUUUGGGACUGAGUGAACGAUGGGAAGGGCAGCGGUUUCUAAAAGUCAACGCUUCUUCCAGCUCCGUAACACCAGUCUCGAUUAAUAAUUUCACGGCGAUGUCAUAUAGAAUAAAAUAAAACUUAGAUAAAAUAUUUUGUCCCAAUGUAAAGUUUCAUUCAAAACUUCUACUGAGACUGCUCUCUUAUAAUUCUGUCACACUUCCGUAGCUAGUGAAUGGUUGUGCAUAUAGUGCUAACAACUUUAUAAUAUUUACACUUAUAUGGACGUUGUUGGAUUCACCUCAAUCCACAUGUGUUGAUAUGAUUUAGGAUUCAAUCUACCUAACACAUGUGGAUUGAUGUGAAUCUGUAAACAAGGUCUUAGAUGUUUUUAACUUCAAAGUGAUAUAUGCAAAUAGUUUGUUUAUUUUUAUUGUAACUGUCUACUCUAUGUACCGCACUGCAUUCAUCAACAUAAACUCCAUUUAGGUAGAGUCGACUAAUUUAUUGGCUAAGUUAUUGUCGUCUCUCCUUUUUCUUUUUCACCACUCCUACCCAUGGUUGUGCAACUUGUGUAGAGGCAAAAUCGAGUUAGCUAUUCAGUUUUGUUUCGACGAGUUAGCUCCAUUCCUCGAUAAAACCAGGAUUCAAAUCUCUUAAAAAAUUAUUUUAUCCUUCGCCCUCUAUUUAAAUUUAAAUUUUAGGUUCCCUUGUACUUUCUCAUACGGAUCCAUAGUUCAGUUUUUGUCCUAAAACAUGGCGAGAUUUGUCACAAUGUGUUGCGCAUGUCUACUGGAGCCACUUCUGCCUUCCCAAACGAAUAGUGGAGUAUUAUUGACGCCAAUCAACUGCUAAUCUUAGAAUUAUUGAGACGGUGACGUUUCCAGGUCGUUGCAAAUUUUUUUCGUCAACACACACAGCACUGUCCUGCUGAAGGGAGGUAGAUGCAGAGCAUGAAGCGGGCAGCAUCUGGUGGGAGAGUGGAAGAUUGAUGUGCUGAUCAAGAAUCGAUUUUUUUAGGCUUUGUUUAGUUCGUAAAAAUUUUCAAGAUUUCCUGUCACAUCAAAUCUUUGGUCGCAUGCAUGGAGCAUCAAAUAUAGACGAAAAUAAAAACUAAUUGCACAGUUUAUCUGUAAUUUGUGAGAUGAAUCUUUUGAGUCUAGUUACACUGUGAUUGGACAAUGUUUGUCAAAUAAAAACGAAAGUGCUACAGUAGCCAAAAACCAAUUUUUUUGCCAACUAAACAAGGCCUUAAUCUGAUCAUGAAUCAGGUUUGGCCUGAGCAAGUCAGGCUUCUUAAGGCUCCGUUGGCUUUUCUUAUCAUCCAACAAACAGUAAUUUUCGACUGUAUCGAUUUCAGAGAAGGAUGGAUGAUGCAUUGAUCAUCUCACCAUUUGUCCAUUUCGUAUGUCUUUUAGACAAAUUCGCAGACCACUUGACACCAAAUACUUCUCCAAGUACAAAUACUCCAAUUAAGCAGGUGUUACAACUUCGGAGUACUGGAUCUCAUGGAUUUAUGGGUCAGACACCGGCUCACUGAAUGCAAGUAGGCACACAGUGUGUUCAGCUAGAAUCAGCUGCUGCAGUCCAUCUAGCCCGAGACGCCCUGUACUGCUCCAAAAGCUUCCCGGCGUCCGGCACCACCCUGUUCACGGCGUCCACGGCCAUGAACCGCUCCGCCCACGCCGCCAGGCAAGGGAAUUUGGCCCCGUCCAGAAGGUUGGUGCCUGCCGUCUCGUCCACCGCUCUCAUCCAGAUCGGGUGGCUCCCGAGCGUGAUGUCCACGAUCCCGACGGCGUCGCCGCCGAAGAACGCCUUCCCCUUGGAGCACUCCCUGAACGCCCGCUCCAACGUCUCCACCGCAAGGAGCGCGCUCUGGAGCGCCGCCGCUCUCUGCUCGUCCGUCACCGAUCUGAACAGCGCGCUAAACGCCGGGAAAAACUAGAAACAGGAAAGAAAACGGCCGAGUCUGAAACUGAAAGCCCCGAAAAAUUGGAUUCGUUUGCUGAAUGGAGUACCAUACCUUGUCGUCGACGAAGGCCGCCCAGAACCGUGCCGUGGCGCGGUCGUAGGGGUCGGCUGGGAGGAGCGGAGGACCGGUCCCCCGCCAGAUCUCGUCGAUGUACUGCAGGAUCACGAGAGACUCGCACACCGGGCGGCCGCCGUCGAUGAGGACCGGCACCUUCUUGUGCACCGGGUUGGACCGGAGCAGGAGAUCGCUCUUGUUGCCGAGGUCCUCCUCGAUGUACUCGUAGCUCAGGCCCCUGAGUCCCAGCGCCACUCUCACCCGGAACACCCACGGGCUCGACGACUUGCCCAGCAGACGCAGCUCGCCAUCUCCUACCCCGCUUCCAGCCGCUGCCAUUGCCAAGUGCUAUUGUGUGUGAGCUGCUGUCUGCCAGGGUCGGUCGAGUUGUAUAUAUGUACGGUCUGAUGCGAUGACCAGACGGAUGUUUGGUUUGACUAGUACAGUGAGGUGAGGGGCAACUUGGAAUUUGCAUCCGGUGUUCUUAUCACGGUGUCUGUAAUUUAUGAGACGAAUAUUUUAAACCUAAUUAAUUUAUAUUUAUAUAAUAAUUAUUAAAUAUAAAUAAAAGUUCUACAACACUCAAAACCAGCAAAUUUCGCCAUACGAUGACUUUUCCAAAAUAAAUGCAUAUUUUGUAGAAUCAACAAAUACUAGUGUUUAUGAUAUCAAAUAAGAUCAAAUGAUCAAUGCCAUAUAUUCUUUAUAAACUAAUUUGAAUAUAACUAUUGGUACUAUUUUCUAUAAAUCUAGUUAUGCUCAAAAUUAUUUCGUUUAUUGAAAUACGAUAUCUAUAUUUAUUUUAGUACAAAGAAAGUACUGUUUAACCCCUACUGAAAGAUAUAAUUCUAAAAUAGUAUUCACUCAAACUUUCAAAAGUUUAGCUCAGUUUAUAGAAAAGGGUAUAGUGUUUAAUUAAUAUAUACUUAAAUGUGUCAUUAAAUUUGAUAUAGAAUAUAACUUUCUUUCACUCGGACGAGACAUGAGAGUGAUUAAUUCAGUUUCUUUCACGUUAGGCCUAUGACUCUAUAGAGAUGAGCGUGACAGUGUCACUUGAGUUCGUAUCUUGUGAGGACAACAGAGUUUGUAUGGUGUGAGGACAACAACUCCACUCAGUCAAUAGGUGGGAUCUAACUACUGCAUGCCCACAAAAUAGAAAAUAUAAGUUGAUAAAAUGAAUUUACAAGUGAUUGUAAAAUGCCAAAAAAUUUGGAAAAAUACUAUCAACUUAAUUUUUGUUGUUGUUGAAUAAUGCCAAAUAAAAAAAAUGCAAAAAGCUAGAAGUCAAGGCGUGCAUCCGCUGCUACUAUCACCAAACACCCAACAUAGCGAAUUAACACCAAUAUCGGGCCGGCUGAGCAAGAUGGAGGGCCACGACCUACUCGUACCCAUGUUGGGCCUCCUGUCCUGUGGGAUUACAUGGGCCACUCGGCUUGGUGGUGGGUGAUCUUCGUUUAGAAACUCCCGGCUAACCAUUUCACCAUUUGUGCCUCCAUAAUUAUAGGAUCGCAAUUGCGUACCUAUAAACCUCAUCUGCCUCCUGAUCAAAAAACCCUCCUCCGCCUCCACCUAGAGUUGGCCGAUGACUAGUUCUAUAGUCUCUAAUUCACCUGAUUCACCUUUACGACGUUACCUGCAGAAAAUCUGCUGGCUCCUGUUCAGAAAACAAUCGGAACGGCGUGAAAAGCCUGAGACAACCUGAACUUUUUGAAACAUUGAGACAACCUGAACUUUUUGAAACAACCACUUGAAAUGAAGGCACACGUGUUCAAAUCCGCACCGACAGAUUCGAGCUACCUCAUCGACAUAACACCAACCAUCCAAAAAUUAUGUGGCUCAUAAAGAUCUUGACGGUCCCCAUUUGCGGUACCAAUUAACCAAGGGCUUCGCUAUCAGCCACCAAAAACGAGCUGCUAUUAACUGUCAAACUGCAAGAGGAGGAGGCCAGCGACAGACAAGAGCAGCGUGGAUAGAAUGGGAUCAAGUGUGCUGUGUGGUAGUGAGCGCCCUGAGCCCUGCCAAGCAGGAUAGGCUUCCAGUUCCAGGGAGCUGCUGCAAGUAGCACUUGCCCAGUUGCCCUCGUUUAAUUGCAUACACAUAAAUUCUCUCCGUCCAAAAAGGCAAAAACACAUCCUCCCGAGAAGUUCUGUUUGGCCUUUUAAUCUUGGUGUACUUCAAUUUUUUUUUGUUUCUUGGACUCAUCUUCUUGUAAGGUUGCGUUCUGAGCUUCUGAUUGGAGGCCGCCAUGGAUGAGGUCCCGGGAAGAAGUAGCUCCGUGAGAGCUACAAGGAGCAUCUUUGGCGAAAGCAUCGGUGGGAGGAAGCCGGAGACGAACAGGGCAAGGAAUGUUCUAGGACAACAGGUAACACAAUUCUGAAUGAUUCUUCAUCAGAAUAGUAGUAAACCACUGUUCGAUUGCGCUUCAUAUCGGUCUUUCCAAAUCAAAUUGCGUUUCAUACUCCUAAACACUCGGUGCAUGCAGCAGAAUUUGUCACCGGAGAUCAAGCAGCUAGCAAAAUCCACCACGGGUAAGCUCAAUGAACGCAAGGCCGCCGUGGACAGAGAAAGAGCCGGCGCCGAGUCCGAGCUGUCGAGGGCGCGCGCCAUGGCGAAGGAGCUGGAGCGCCAAAUCGAGCAGGCCAAGGCCAGGGCGUCGUCCAAGAGGUCCGAGCCCCACGCAUUUCGGGCGACCAGGGCAAGCAGGAAGGGACCGGAGGAUGCGCGGAGCUCGCAGUCGCAGGAGGAGCGCGACGCUGCCGAGUACGCGGAGGUGUCGCGGGAGCUGGACCGUGCCAGGCGGGAGCUGCUCAGGCUGCGGCUGGAGGUGAAGGCCGCGGCGGAGGCCAAGACCAAGGCCGAGAGCGACAUCGUGGCGUCGGCGAUAAACAUCCAGUCCAACCUGCGCGCCGCCGACGAGAUGAAGCGGCUGGUGGACGAGGCGAACGAGGAGCACGUCCUGGUGGAGCUCGCGCGCAUCGAGGCCGAGCGGGAGCACCGCGAGAUCGACGCCCAGCGGCGCGCCGACGCCGAGCGGUUCGCCGGGGAAAUGGAGGCCACCAGGGCCAAGAUCGAGGCGCUGCGGAAGGACGUGAGCCGCGCGCGGGAGAUGGAGGCGAAGCUCGCCGUGACGAACGCCGACGUGGAGGUCCUGCAGGCCGAGAUGGAGCUGGUCCGCGCCAUGGAGAGGAACAGUGUCAAGAACGACGACACCGCGGGUGCGGAGGCUGAGGACAAGGCACUGCUGCAGACUGCGGAGGCCGAGCUGGACGCGGCCAAGAAAGAGCUGGAGAGCAUCAAGGCCGGGAGCUUCCAGUUCAUGACGUCCAUGGACAGCGCGCGCACCGAGAUCAUGCGAGUGUCCGAGGAGGUGAACCGGCUCAGGGAGCAGGAGAAGAAGGCGGACGCGCAGGUGCAGCAGCUGAACGCCAAGCUGCUGAAGGCGAGGGACCGGUUGGAGGCCCUCACGGCGACUAACGAGCGGUCCAAGGCGAUCGUUUCAAGCAUGACGUCGGCGCUGCAGCAGCUGCGGGACGAGAAAGAGGCGGCGAGGAAAGAGGAGGAGCUGACCGAGCUUGAGCAACUGUGCGUGCGCGCCGAGACCGAGAACGUGAACGCCGAGAUCGCCGUGACCGAGGCACGGAUACAGCAGUCCGUGAAGGAGCUCGAGGCGGCGAAGGCGGCCGAGGCCAAGGCGAUGAAGAAGCUCAAGGCCGCCGUGGAAGGCACAAUGCGGGCGAGGGCGUCACAGGGGUCGCGGACCAUAACCAUCUCGCGGUUCGAGUACGAGUACCUGAGCGGGCGCGCGGCGCUGGUCCGCGUGGUGGCCGAGAAGAAGGUGUCCGCGGCGCAGGCGUGGGUGCAGGCGAUCAAGGCAGGCGAGAAGGAGCUGGCGGCGCGCGCGGAGGCCGCGGAGCGCGUGACAGCCGAGCUGCGCGCCAGGGAGGCCGAGGCGGCGGCGGAGGCGGAGAGAGCGGCGGGCGAGCAGAAGGCGCUGGAGCAGGAGCUGUACGACCUGAACGCGGCGGCCGAGCGGGACGGACUGCUGUGCGCGUACCCGCGGCGGCGGUCGACCAGGGUGUCGGCGACGAUGCGGAGGGCGAGGGCGCGGCGGUCGUCCGUGUCGUCAUCGGCGGGGAUCCGGAACCCGCGGACGCCGUCGUUCACCAUCAAGAGGAAGAAGAAGGUGAUGCCCAGCCUCUUCAAGCUCAUCAAGCAGAGGAAAGACAACAGCGCGAGAUGAAUGCGCCUCGCGCCCUCGCCAGAGAAAAAAAUGCAUUUGUCAGCUUUGCUGCUUGUUCAUGUCGUGUCAGGCUCGGCGUCGCUGCGGUGCAAAAUGUACAAAAUUGGCCGUGCUCCCAAAAUUCCAAAAAUUUAUAAUAUUUCUUAUCACAUCGAGUCUUUAGACGCAUGCAUGAAGUAUUAAAUAUAGAUAAAAAAAUAACUAACCACAUAAUGGAAAUCACGAGACGAAUAUUUUAAGCCUAGUUAGUCAAUGGUUGAAUAAUGUUUGUCAAAUACAAACGAAAGAAAGUACUAUAGUGUCAAACUUCAAAAAAAUAUUGCAUCUAGAUAAGACCUUAGCAAUGGAAGCCAUAAAAUAUAGAAAUUCUACCGUGUCUCACAACUGUAAUUUUACUUGAUCCGCAUCAAAAUAGUCUGUGAAUCUAUGAUCCAGCGGUAAGCAGGACAAUAUGUUAACUCACAGAUAACGUAUCAAGCUUCAAGAAAUAUUGGUUUGUUCAAUCUGGGAAACGCAAAAUGAUGCUAUUUUCAGAAAUAUUGCUCCUUCUAUCCAGAACUUCAAGAGGAUUUUCAAAAGAUAAUUUGCUUGAGGCAUUGUUUAGUUCACUCCAAAAACCAAAAAAGUUUCAAGAUUCCUCAUCACAUCGAAUCUUGCGGCACAUGCAUAAAGCAUUAAAUAUAGGUGAAAGCAAUAAUGAAUCUAACUUUGGACCAUCAAAAAGGUUUUUUUUUUUCUAAUUCUACUUUUUUCUGUUUGACUACUCUAUAUUAAAAUAACACCAUUUGCUCUUAAAAUUGAAUGUUUAUAGGCAAAGAAGUGGCUCAAAUUAGCCCGAAGUAUUUUUCACACAUAGAACAACAUGUGAUGACUAAGGAUAAAAUCAAGUUGAAACCCACACCGAAGAAGCAAGGGCUAGGUGCAAAUGAUGCUAACACUUCAAAUGUGUUACUUGACAGCCCCUCCAUGAAUACUAGAAGCAAAAAAAAAAAAAAAACACAACUACCUAGUCCUGCAAUGAGUACAAGAAGCAAAAGAAGCCUUAGCCUUAGAUUUUUGAAAUGCAUGUUCUCUCAUAUGUGAUGCCAUGUACUACAUGUUGACAUGGCUUGGUUAAUGUGAACAUAUGUGAACUUAUACAUCUUGUUUACUUUAUGUGUGCACUUUGUUCAUGUAUGACCUCAACCUACUUAAUGUUACAUCCAUUGAUUUGUCAUGAUUGUGUAUGUGUGCACUUGGAUUGCAACUGUGGAUUUCAUGUGCAUUUCAAAUGGUCAGUGUUAUGUAUGUCAUGUGCAAAUAUAGAAAAAAUAAUAAUUCUAUGCUUGAAAAUAUAUCGUAUCUUAUUUUUAAAAAUUAUUGAUAGUAGGCAGCCUAAAAGACCUAUGUGGGUGAUUGUUGUACUGUUGCCUUUAGCAUCAAGGGAAAAAAGGGCAAUUUUGCAUAUAGGUUAACACUGUUUGAGCCUCAAACUAAUAGAAGAGCCAAUAAAGCAAUCAAAAAAUGUUUUAGAGCCAAAUAAGGCAAUUCAAAACAAAAGGAAACACAACUUUUUUAGGACUUAGCUCACAUCCUCCAUCAUGUUAUCAAGUAGAGCAUUCUUAGGUCAUAAUAAGAAAGUCAUAGGGAAGAAGAAAAGGGUCGUCACAGCCAUUGUUGCGGCCUGUGACGUAGCUAUUGUUUUGUGCCCCUUCUCUUUUUGCCCGUGGUUAGCUAGCUCUUCUCUUCUUCCCCAUGGUCAAUGUCUGGCGGUUGGCAUCCUUCUCUUCUUCUAUAAGAACAAGUAUAAUAGUAGACUGUAAGCUAAUUAAAUUUUGAGAUGGGGGAGGGAGAGUAAAAGUGGGUUGUAAGCUUAGAGCUGGCUCAAGCAUAAGAACCAUGGAAGUCUAUGAGAGAGACAAGUAUGUCAUGUAUUAACAGUGAUGAGCUAACAACUAUAUGAGUAGACUGCAAGAAAUGCUACAAAGAAAUUUUACAACCAGCGAUCGGUUAUAUUUUUAGCCUUGCUCUAAGGCUGGCGGCCCUUCUUCUUUUACCUCAUAAUCCACAAAUUCCAAAAGGUAAUUUAAUAGUUAUCUAAACAAUACGGAGUAGAAUUUAAAUCAUGCCCUUGAACCUAAUGUAAUUUUAUGUCCUUGAAUAUCUACGUAUGAAUAAAUCUUAAGAAAAUUGCUCCUAAAAUUCAUUUAUUUUUAAGGGUUUACCUCUAUAAAAUUUUACAUAUUGCAGUGGAUUGACACCAUGUGUCAUUAUCAUACCACCAAUCCCGUGUAUGAAGACUGCCUUUGGGCAUGUUUCCAUUUUGGUCAAAGACAACACGCUCAAGGUGCUCUCCUCUCCUCUAAGAUCGAAAUUCCUACUCCCUCUGCUGCCGAAUAAAAAAUCAAUUUCGUAUAAUCUGUCUAAAUCAAAUUAUCUUGAGUUUAAAUUAGAUUAAUUUUAUUUUAUAGAAAAAAGUAGCAACAUAUAAAAUAAACAUAUUAUAAAAAUAUAUUUUAUGAUAUAUCUAUUAUCUAAUGAUAUUUAUUUGAUAUGAUAAAUUUUGAUGAUUUUUUAAAAUUCAGUUAAAAUAAAAAAUCGAUUUACGAUAAUUCUUCUAUUUAUUGGGGGAAAAGACACGCGAUACAAGGAAAAUCCUCGCCAUGACGACGCGGUCGUAUGUGGUCUGGGUCCCACCAAUUCUACAAACCCGUCGUGUUUCCCACGUGGCCGCCACUCGGUUCACCAAAGCCGGGCACGGACCAUUGUUUAGUUAAAAAAAAUUUUGCAAAAUUUUUCAGAUUCCCAGUUACAUCGAAUCUUUAGAUACAUGCAUAAAGUACUAAAAAUAGACAAAAAUAAAAAUUAAUUGCACAGUUUGGUCGGAAUUGACGAGACAAAUCUUUUGAGCCUAGUUAGUCCAGGAUUGGACAAUAUUUGUCAAAUGUAAACGAAAAAGCUACAGUGUCUCUUUUGUAAAAUAUUUUAGAACUAAACAAGCCCCAAACCGGCGAGGAAAGAUGGGGAACGACAGAGAACACACCAGAACCGAGGAUCCCAACUGCCGAGGCCGAGCGAGCGAGCCAGACCGAUAUCAUGCGGCUGCCGCACGCCUCCGACCUCCGCGCCUUCCUCGCGGCUGCCGCCGUCGCGCACCUCUCCUCCUCCAGGGCCUCCCGCGCCUCCCCGUGCGCGCCCCCGCCACCUCCGCGGUUCUGCGCGUUCGCCUCCUCCCGCGCCUCGCCGCCGCCCUCCUCGCCCUCGCAAACGGGAGCAGUCGCCUCCGCCUCCGCCUCCGCCUCCGCCGCUGCCGCCGCCGCCGCCGCAGCAACCUGCGAGCAUGUGGUGGAGAAGCCCGCUAUAUGCACGGCCGACGAGCUGCACUACGCGCCCGUUCCGGGCACCGAGUGGCGGCUCGCGCUCUGGCGGUACCGUCCGCCGCCUGAGGUGAUGAGUCAAUAGUGAUAGCUGCUUCUGUGCGAGUGUGAUUGGUGGUGCUUCGUUGGGGUUUUCUGGUUGCUGAUUGUGCUGGUUUGGUUUGCACAGGCGCCGAAGAGGAACCACCCGCUGAUGCUGCUGUCUGGAGUGGCCACCAACGCCAUUGGGUUCGACCUGUCCCCUGGGGUGAGUGAGCUUGUCCAUAAUGGAGUUAUUGGUGUGGUGUUUCGUGUGUCGAUAAACUAAGUGGAUACUUGUUUUCUGUGAACAAAAUUUGUCAUGAAUUAGGAGUCGCUAUGAAUCAAGAGAUUGCUCAUAGAGAAACUGGCUUUGUUUAAUGCUUCCAAAUGAAGACUCGGCUGGUGUUCCCAAAAAAUAGCAGGGAAAAUCAAAUAAGGAACAUGUGGAACUUUUUUAGUUCUGAAUUCAGAAGUAGCUUAGUUCUGAGCAAACAAAAUGCUAAUGAGAAUACAUUGAUACCAUGUGCUUGGGCAAUGGGGCAUAGAGCAGAUCAACCAACAAGAUAGUGACACAACUCCAAAACGACAAAAGUUCAUAUGUACUCCUUCUGUUCCAAAUUGUAGUUCACUUUGGCUUUGUCCUAAGUUAAACUUCUCUAAUUUUGACAAAGUUAUUAGAAAAUAUAUCAACUUCUACAAUGUCAAAUAGAUGUUCUAUCAGAACAUAUAUUUCAUGAAGAAUCUAAUAAGACUAAUUUGUUAUUUUAUAUGUUGGUAUUUUUUUUCCUAUAAACUCGGUCAAAGUUAAAGAAGUUUGACUUAGGACAAAACCAAAGUGAAUUAUAAUUUGGAACGGAAAUGUAGCUAGUAUGGAAUGUAGUGAGAGUAAGAAAUAUGCAGCACACUGAACUAUAUCAGAAAACAAUGAGCAUUUUCUUGUGUAACUGAUAGUAACUAUUAUCAGAGUUUGGAUGCUAUUGGCAAAACUUUUCCCUUGUGAAGUAUCAACUUGCCAGCUAUAUAGCAGUGAUGAAAAUCAACCUUGUACAACAACAUGCCAGUUAGUUUUCUUUUGUGUACUUUUAGUGUCCUAGUGGUUGUGCAUGUAUGUUAUUGCUCUUCUACUUCUACAACAGGAAAUGAAUUAUUUAUAAUAAUCUUAGUUUUCCUACUAUAGAACAACAAUGGUAUUCUUUUUAUGAUUUUCUUUUUUCAGGCUUUGUGUGCUCUCUGGUUACAUGUUACACUCAAUAACAAAAAAUAUGAAUUACUCCAUUCCAAAUUAUAGGUGAUUUUGGCUUUUCUAGAAAAAGCAUAUUAUCAAGCUAUGCACCUAGAGAACCAAAACGACCUAUAAUUUGGGAUAGAGGGAGUACUGUUUUCUUUGUAUUGUUGUUAUUGUUCUUGGUUAUAGUUUUUUUCAUUAUGGCUUCACUUUGACCCCUGAUUUUAAUUGAUACAUAUGAAAUGCUGUCAGGCUUCAUUUGCUCGUCAUAUGUCCAUGCAAGGAUUUGAUACAUGGAUUGUUGAAGUGCGUGGUGCUGGCCUGAGCAUGCGUGGAUCAGAACUAGCUGCAGCUAACACCAAGUCUGACAUCACCCCUGGUCCUAAUUUGGAUGAAAGUUCUACAACAAAAGCAAUUGUUGCUAUUCCUGCUGAGAAUAUGUUCACUUCUCAACAUCAAAUUUCUGAAGUUCCAGUAAUAGCAGAUAAGAACAUGGUAGGAACAAGUAUAUCAGAAGAACCACAGCUGGUGACAAAGUUGGCAAAUGCUUUGGCACAAUUGGGUGAAAUAUUCUCUGGUUAUGUAAAAGAUAGCCAGCUGAAAAACAUAGCUGACAGUUUUUUUGAUCGAGUGUCAGAACUUGCUCCCGAUGCCUCCUUAGCUAGCCUUGAGGAGGUUUCAGAAAGAAUUUUAGGUUUAUUGGAAUUGCCACAGACAUCAGUGAUAUCUGAUCAAAUUAGCAAUUUAAGUCAGCGCCUUGUGAAGAUUCUGGGGGAAGGCCAACAAAAUGUUUCCCCUAAGCUGUUUGGCUGGCAAGAACGCCUCUCCGCAACCAUAGAAGAUCUGCAGAAACAAUUGGAGCUUAUUAUAAGCUAUGAUUGGGACUUUGACCAUUAUCUGGAGGAGGAUGUACCUGCUGCGGUUUGUAGACAUUCUUCAUGUAUACUAGUCAGAUGGUACCUUGGAAACCCCUUUAAGAAGCGUGCAAUUUUUUUUGUUUGUUCAGAUGGAUUACAUAAGAAAACAGAGUGUACCCAAGGAUGGCAAAUUGCUUGCCAUUGGUCAUUCCAUGGGAGGAAUCUUAUUGUAUGCGAUGGUUUCAAAGUGUGGUAUGUUUUGUUGACAUUUCUCCUUUUCUCCUCUUACAUAUCUAGCAGUGCUGGCAAAGUUUUUCAUUUAAUUGAAAAGAAGGUAUGUUGUCAACUAGUAAGGCUGUAGUGUAACAAAUCAAACAUUACCUUAUCAUUGGUAGCUGUGGAUAUUAUCACAAGCACAUAAAUGACUGCAAAUUUUAUUCAUCUUGAUACCGAGAUCUGGAACCUCUAGAAACUUUCCCUGGUGUAUAUGUUUGACCAUUGUGUAAUGCAUACAAAUAUUAAGUACAAAGCCAAAGUCAUGCAAUCAGAAUAUAUUGCUAUUAUCCUGCCUGGCAUGCUAUUGUCACGUCUCCUAGGAUAACAAUGGUUCUACUGCAAUUAUCUCUACCACGUGACAUCCUGAUCGAUCAAAAUUGCUUCUGCACAACCGGCGAAUCCAACAAAAGCAUUAAAGCACCAUUCAUGCUAAAUCUGUCCAUUUUUUUCUCCUGAUGUUGUUUCCUUGUAAUAUUAAUAUCAUGUUACUGGAGUUAUUAAAUGAUGAAUUAUCAUCAUUCCUUUCCUUUCUUGUUCGCCUUUCCCAGUUCAUUAGUUACCUCUGCUCCCCGACAUCCAGGAGAUUAGCAAUGCUAAUUCUUUAACGUUGACUCUCAAAAAUCUUAGAAUGUCCUCUCCCUCAGAACUUGCUCCCUCCUAGAUUAAUAUCAUAUGUAAAAUGAGCACUGGUUUGGUAAUUUCCUUCUUCAAAACCAUAGCAGAGAACUAUUUGUUGGUACAUCUUUGAAAGUGGAUGAGGCAUUACUGAUAGCUUGCUGGAUGUUUGCAUAUUGCCUCUUAAAUUUGUCAGGAAUCAUCCUUGUUUAAAUAGCUUCCACUUGAAUUCUCAUGGGAUUUUCAUUCCUGGCUCUAUGUUAUUUUCAAUACAAAUUACCUAGCAUAAGAAUACCAUUUGAAUAAAAGGACCAUGUCGUCACUCUCUGAUCUAGAGCCAGUAGUUACCUUGAGCGUCACUCUCUAAUCUAGAGCCAGUAGUUACCUUGAGCGCAAUAUGUGCCAAUUUAAAUAGUAGUCUAUCAUAUUCACAUAUGAAAUGUAACUAGUUCUGUGCAGAGACCAAAUGACAUCUCUUAUCAUUGAUAGCACUCCAUCAGUUAUGUUUUCUUUUUUCAUAGUUCCAUCUUCAUUGCUUUUACAUCAGAUACCAGUGCAAUUGGUAGCUCUUCUUUUUUUGAUAUUUGUUCUGCUGAGUUUGCUUGUACAUCAGCUUGUUUAAAGUUUUGUUACCAAUAUAUGGAACUAAUUCAUCUGGUUCUGCUUCAUAAGGAUCCCAAGGGGCUGAGCCAGAGCUGGCAGCAAUUGUUACUUUGGCUUCAUCAGUCGAUUACACAACAUCCAAUUCCUCACUCAAGUUGCUAUUGCCAUUUGUAAGUUAACCAUCAAACAACUCUGACACUCCCCCCCCCCCCCUCCCCCACCCCAAAGUCAUAUGUGUAACCUAAUCUUCAUUGUAUUCUCUAUUAGGCAGAUCCAGCUGAGAUGUUGCGUGUUCCUGCUAUCCCACUAGGAGUAUUACUGUCUACUACCUAUCCUAUAUCAUCUCGUGCACCAUAUAUUCUGUCACUGCUUCGCUCUCAAAUUUCAGCCAAGGAAAUGAUGGACCCUGAACUGCUUUCAAAGCUUAUCUUGAAUAACUUUUGUAAGUAAAGGCGUAUCUUGUUGUUCGUUAUUGAAACUGUCAUGUGCUUGUUUGUAUUUAAGGUACUAGUCAGAUGAUAUUUAACUGAAAUAUAGCCUUGAAUUGUUUCACGUGAAGGUUUUCUGACUCAUUUGUUAUGUCCAUGGAACAAAUGAACGUACAAGUGUCAUAUCAGUAUUACUGAUAUCCUUUUUGCUAAGAACUUUGCAUAGAUAAUGGCGGUUAGAUCUCCUGCUGGUUGAAGAGGAAAAAAAAGAAUCUGCAUAGGCUAGCAAUACAAGCCAUUUGGCUCUUUUUAGUAAUAUCAGAGUAUCAUGUGAAGAUGUUCAUUGUAUUUUGUAUGCAUCUCCUAUACAAUUUGGUUUGUUGUAAGUAGUUCCCAGAUAUAAGAGGUCAGAUGCUUUUUUUAUGUUUGUGCUUAUGGUUUAGUUCUGAACUAUUUAUGAACAUUUGAAGGAAUAUCUAAUCUUGUGCUGUAAUAGUAAAUUUCAUUGUUGCUAAAAUGGUAAUUUUCAAAACACCUGGUUCAGUUGUGCUGUUAUGGUGACCUUUAUCAUCUAUGUUCUUAACAAUUUCCUGUCACAUACAGGCACAGUACCAGCAAAGGUUUUGUUACAGCUUACGACCGCAUUCCGUGAUGGCGGUCUGCGCAACAGGACUGGUACUUUUUUCUUCAAAGAGCAUCUGAACAAAAUCAAGGUCCCUGUGCUUGCCCUUGCUGGAGAUGAGGAUCUGAUUUGUCCCCCAGAAGCUGUUUACGGUUUGGCAACAACCUCCAUUUCUCUGUUGUUUUGUAAUAAGGAAUCCUCCUUUUUACAGUACUUAAAACAUUAAAUCCUUGUUUGGAUGCACUAUCUACCUUUGUGUUGGAGUGGAUUAGGGUGGAACUUGGUUUAAUUUUCACCCCAAUCCAUUUCAACACACGUGGGUUGAGGUAGAUACAAGUGUAUUCAAACAAGCCCUAAAGCGUGAGUGAUCGUUUUCAACCAAAAGAAUAUGCAGCUUUGUUCUGGUGCCUGAUCUAGUGCAAUGAUCAUGGUAUUAGAAUUCGUUACCUAAUUGGGCUUUUAGCCUACAAGCUGACAACCUAGGACUAAGGUGCUACUGUGUUAGCUCAUAGCACAGUUUCAAAAACCAGAAUGGGUGGUGGCUUUAGCCAAAUGCCUGAUGCUCAUAGAUUCUAUCCUUACUUGAUAUUCUUUCUGAAUCCCUUUAGAGAAACAACACUUAAUUUUUGUGUGUGUGUGCAGAAACUGUGAAGCUAAUUCCUCAGCAUUUGGUUACAUACAAGGUUCUCGGAGAACCCGAAGGCCCUCACUAUGCACAUUAUGACUUAGUUGGAGGGAGAAAGGUAUGUCGACAAUGAGUGGUUAAUCAGAGCUAGGAGUCCACCUUUGGUUUCUUGUACUCAUCUUCACUUUAUGGUUAUCUACUAUGCGCAGGCUGUCCAUGAAGUAUACCCAUGUAUAAUAGAGUUCCUCUCUCAACAUGACGAAGUGUCUUCUUGAGUUUUUGUCAUUCGUAUCUGUAAUUACAAUGUUCAAGACCACGUCGAAGUACAUAGUAAAAUCGCCAGAGUGGAACUAGGUAGGAUUUCUUUUUUUCACAUUUGCACGGGAUUUGGCUACCUUGGUUUCUGCCAUUAGAUAGAUGUUUCAACUCACAGAUUGUCAUUCUUACUCCCCACAGGCCAUAGCAGGAGAAGCACUGCGGGGACGAACCUUGCUGGUUGCUGGCACCUCGGUGAAACCUUAAGAGCCAAUGUAUGUAUGUAGUUGAAUUCGAGGUUGCAAACGUAGUUCGAACUACUCUUGAAGGACUCGUGUGAGUGGCGUGGUCAUAUGCAUGUUUCAGCGAGUGGACAGUAAAAGGAUUCAUUGGAAGGACCCUCGGACUGUAUGAGAUGAAUUCAGUGUAGGUGUAGCUGUAAUUGCACGAUGCCGCUCACCGGCAGCAGGUCUAUGACUCUAUGUGGCAGUUCCGCAAGAAAAAGAGAGCAUCAAAGAUGAGGUCUCUUCUUGUCAAAAAAAAGUAAAGAAAAAAAAAAGAUGAGGUCUCUGUCAGUCCAAGUGCACGCUGCACAGACCAACGUAGGUUCCACCUGCCCAAACAGAGGCCGGGCUCGCAGCAUGCAGAGCUCGCCCGGACGCUGCCUCGGCCGAGCUCGCACGCGUGCUGUUGUUGCGCUGGCCGAGCUCCUCUGCACGCCGCAGCCGGCGAGACCGCAGCCAGCCAGCCACCCACUUCGCCAGUCGCGCUGCUCCUUGCACACGCAGGUGUAGCGGCGUUUGUGUCAGGAGUUGCUAUAGACAGGCGCAGGCCUGUUGGUCUAGGCUUAACGGCCAUUGCUGCGGCCUAAGGUUGGCAGGGAGCAAAGGCCUGUUUUGAACUUUUGAUAGACAACUUAGUAUAUAUUGUAUAGUUUAAUGAAGGCAAAAUAUUCAGUGCAAAUUUAAUGAAUUAUUGAUCUUUCUAAAAUAGGCUAAAUUAGACACCAUUUUGAAUCACCUGUUUAGAACCCCGAGAGCUGAAACCAUGAGAUCCAAACAGAGCCUAGAUACAUUAUGAAAGCAAAGGCUCGUCCUAACUGUUACUGCAAAACCUUUUCCUAAUCACCCUAGAUAAGAGGGUAUCAGAAUCCAUAGUUUGGUGGAAAAUGAACAAAACGUGGCAUUUUUUAUCUGCGAGAUGCAACGAAUGGAUUGUGUUUAUACAAUAAUAAUAUAUAUAACGGGCUGUACAGGACAAAAGAAUUUGCCGUUUCCACCAAGAUCUACCGACGCCGUGCCUGGAGUUUGGAUUUCAAUUCUUGCUAACGGCAGUCUUGCAAACUGGGCAAGUGUUUUUCUGAGAGAGCCACUGCUUGAUGCAGUAGACAUGGUAGCUAUGGCCACAGUCUAGCCUUCCCAUCUCUUCAUUUGCUUCGAAUUCUUCCUGCAAAGUACAAUAUAAAUCAGACUAGUUUUAAGAUUGAACCACAGGGUACUAGCAGAAAGAUCCAUGGAAUCCUGUUUAAAGAAAUGGAGGUAUGGGCAUACUUGGCAAAUACUGCAUUUCCUUUCCAUUUCUGUUGCGAACCGGAAGGAACUGAAGGAUGGGUGCUUGACCUUCUUAAGGUUGCGAGUAAUCUCAUCCUCCCGUAACCCUGUGUUGACGUAUCCAAUUUUGUCUUCAAGCUCGAGCAACUCCUGCAAAGCAAAGUGUCUGAUCAUCGACUGAUGGCACAGGUCAGACGUAGAUACUCCCUCCGUUCCAAAUUAUAAGUUAUUCCAAGAAUCUUGGAGAAUCAAAGCAUUUUUAAGUUUGACCAAAAAUAUAGAGAGAAAUAUAAAGAUUUAUGUCAUAAAAUAGGUAUACUAUGAAAAUAUAACUAACAAAGAAUCUAUUGAUACUUGGUUGGUACCCAAAAUGUUAUUAUUUUGCUAUAUAAAUUUGGUCAAACUUGAAAAACUUUGACUCUCCAAGAUUUUUGGAAUAACUUAUAAUUUGGAACGGAGGGAGUACAACAUAAGGGGUACAUACCUCGUAUGUCAUGUUAUCAACGUCAAGGCGCCAAUCCUGGUAGCGAUCAUACAUGUUCAUUCCUCCCAGUAACACUCUUGUCUGAAACAUCAUUAUCUACAAACAUAAGGAAAAACGAGAAAUAAGAAACUGCUGGGAAGUUUAAGUGAUUUGACAACUGGAUGUGAUGUCUAAGGAGCAGAUUACAAUUACAUCAUUAUUAUCCACUUCAGCUAGUAAACAUUGUCCAUGCAUUAUACUCUUCAUUGCAACCAAAGAUGAUUUUCAUUUGUAUAAAGUGCAGACUGAAGUUCAAGAGUGCCAUAAACCAGCCAACUGAACAUAUGCAUGACAUCUUAAUGGCUGGAUAGAAAUGUUCAUAUCUAUGUUUUCAGUUCAAGUUAGUCUGUAAGAUUAUAUCUUAGUAGGUUCCUAUAGGUAGAAAUAUGUAGGAAUUUAUGGUGCAGAAAGUGGGGAAUGGGUGAAUUCAAGAUCAUCGCUUGGGGACAAAUACUAUCAUGACAUCACAUGAAGCACUUGCCAGAAAACUGUAACUAUUGCAACCUUUAUUUGUCAAUGUUGGGGUACUAUGUCCACUCUACAAUAUGCUAUUAUCAUGGUCAAUGAAAGGCAGAGACAGUACGAAAUAUGGCUCCACAGACCAUUGUUUUGGAAAAAAAAACUACAAGAUCAAAAUACACAAAAGGGCUAGUGAGCAAAGCAACUGUAGAUCAAUUCACUUUCAUCUAUCUACACUAUAAUAGGAAUCUGUUAAUCAGGUUAGGAAAUGAAACCUAAGUAGAUUAACAGUGUGUUCCAAUAUUUGUUAAUUGGCGCCUGCACAGACCGACAAUGCUUGUGGAUCUUGGUAUUGAAUGAUUUAGGUAGGGGCCAUCACUAGGCAGGUGUCCACCUAGAAGGAAUGACUACAACUCCUGAUCUGAUUAUGACUGAAGCAACAGGAAAAUGAUAAAAGGCAUGAAGGGUUGGUCCCCAUAAGCAGACAGAAAAUAAUAGUUCGUCCAGAAGGGCAGGCUUGGCACUAAAUCACAAAUGGUUAACUGCUAGCACCACCCAACAGGCAUGUUGAAACAUGCCUGUUCCUUCCUUAAACAUACUGUACGAUCCACCAGAACAGUAUGCCAAAAGAGAAUCGCGCCAGGCCGUAAUUGUAAGGUGUUCCACCACUUCCAAGAGCACAACUGACCAUUUUGCCCAGCUCAGCAUGGAGAAUCCAGUAUUCAUACUUGUCAUUGGCGUUGGAAUGCACAGGACUAAACCUCACUACGGUUGCGAGGUCUCUUUCAAUGGCCACAUUACCCUUUGUUUCAUUCCUUCAUCAACUGCAGUUAUCCUAAGACUUAAAUCAGCAGGAGCUCUACCUGACAUCAACUGGUCCCAAGGACAUGAACAAUGCCACGUAUUUCUAGAAGUCAUCUAAAUAACAGGAAAUAGCCACAUCAAACCAACGGUAAGGUCUAUCUUCUCUAUCUACAUAAGGAAAACAUAUUUUGAAGGUGCUUAGAUGGCUGUAUUUGCAUAUGUGCCUCUUAGGCACAGGAGAACAGUGAAGCACACAUGCUGUGAAAUACUACCUUUGCAACUCCAACAUAGACCUAUGUCAAACUAUCUCAGGUUUGACCGAAUUUCUAUAACACCACCAAAUAGUAGGUAUCAUAAGAUUCAUUAUGGCAUACUUUUCUACAAGUUUGGUCAUUUUUUUAAAAAUAGCUCGACUAAGAACAAAGCUAGACAUGCAUUCUUUUUGGGACAAAGGUACUAAGCAGCUAAUCUAUUCUGGCUAUAAAAAUUCUCUCUGUGUAAUCAAAUUCUGCUGCUACACACCUCCAUUGUUGACACCCUAAUAUAGAUGCUCAUGACAAUACCACUACCCACUGGGUCACGGCUGCAACCACCGGUAAUCAUUGUGCCUGUCAAGGCACCGGUUGAGUUAACAAUCUAAGGAAGGCAGCCAUCUCACGUCACGUUUAGCGCACGAAAGGAGCAAGUCAACCACUUCCAACUCCCCACCCAGCCGCCCAGAGGCGUUACCAAACCGCGUAGCAGUCACAGUUACCACGCACGCAUCACACGCAGAAACAUGUCAGAUGAUCACGCCCUUAACGACCCUGCCCUACGCACCAACCGCUGGAGUCGGCGGGGCAUGGAAUGGAUGCGGUUGAUGUGUGUAAGCAAUCGCGAGAUGAAGAGAGGCAGAGAGCAAAAGCGUCUGUAUGCGUGCAAUGCAGUGUGCCGUACCUCUUCCUCGAGGCCUCCGGGGGAGUGGCGGUACCCACGCAUCCGGCGGAGGCGGCCGGAGGGGAUGAGAUCGGCGCCGAAGAAGGGAGCGUCGAGGUGCGGCGGCGGCGGCGAGUCCAUGAAGGACGAGGAUAUCUGCUCCUGCAUGGACGCCCUCCGGGACAGGCACGGCCGCUGUUCAGGUGAGAGCUCAUCAAUACAGGCAGUAGAACAUGGCAAAGAUUCCACUUGCGUACAUUAUAGAAAUUAAUUAAAAUAAAACAAUUCACGAGUCCAGAGAACAAAGAAGAACCAAACACAUUGACCCUUUGAACAAGUAUUGACGACCGUCCGUAAUCACAGUUGUCGAGAUUAAAUAUGGGGAUUAAUGGCAUUAAUCAAAUUCGGAAGGGGACCAGAAAUGCUGUGAACCUGACAUAAAGCACGCAACGAUCCCAGAAGAAAAGAAAAAGAGAAUAAUUAUUUUAUUUUAAACAAAAGAACGGCCCCCCAGCCACAGCCACAGUGAACGAAGGAACCCUUUCGAAACGAACGAAGGAAAUCUGAGCACGAACAGAUCGAAGCAAGCAAGUGGCAGCAGAAGCGAGGAAUCCGUGGACACACACACCUCUCUGUGGGGCCUGUCGCCGUCGGCGCCGCGGCCACCGCCCCUCCCCACCAUCUGGUGGCGCGCCACCACGCAGUCCACCGAGGACGCCUCCGCGGCGAAGGGUAUCCCGGGCGCGCACCACACGUCGGCGCCGAUCCCCCCGGUGACGAAGCCUCCGCCUCCUCCUCCUCCUCCCCCGCCGCCCGCGCCACGGUCCUUCCUCCUGUCCUUGCCCCUCCGCCGCCGACGCCCGCCGUGCCAGUCAGCCGACGACCGCACGGCCGUCGCCGCCGCGGCCGCCCCGGGCGCGUACGCCUGCGACGCCGCCGACGACGCGCAGCCCAGGCCGCGCAGCGCCGCCGACGCGAACCCCUUACGCCUCCCCUCCUCCUGCGCCGGCACCGGCGGGCGCGGGGGAGGCGGAGGCGAGGACGAGGAGGCCUCGCCCCGGGGGUGCAGGAGCAGGCGCCGGAUCCCCCGCCGGCGCUCCGCCGUCGGCGAGCGGUCACGCGGCAUGGCGCGCAGGGGGGCGGGGGCGUGGCUAGGGUAGGCUAGGCGUCGCCUUCCCUCCCCUGGCCCCUGGCUUGCUCGUCUCGUCGGGCCCGGAGGUGGCUGAGGGCCGGCAGUAAUGGUGGCGGUGUGGUGGAAGAAGCGACGGCCGGCGGAGGUCUGCGGCGUAGUAGCAGCGCGUGGCGUGGGGUGGAAGACCAGUGUCCAGAGGAGAAGUAGGGGUGGGGGUGGUGGACUGGUGGGCCUGGGGGAGUCGGAGCACGAGGCAGGCAACGCGAUGGCCGAUGGAUGAGAGGUGUGGUAAAUUCUUGUCCCGGAUUUGGUGCGGCGCAGGAUUUGAGGCGAUGGGCGGAUGUUCUUAUAGCUGUCUCCAACGACACACCCAUUUGGAAACCCAAACUUAAAAUGGGUCUCCAACACAAUACCUAUAGCCUCCAACAGAGUACCCAUACAGAAGACCCACUUUUGUAUCAGGAGAGCCAUAACCCAAAUUUGGGUAUCCUCUCUCUUCGAGACCCAUUUGCAGAGAGUGUUGUCUUUUAGGUCUUGUGGUUGGAGAAGACUAAAAAUAGAUAUAAAACCUUUUAACUGUAGCGCUACCCAAAGGAUAAAUAGGUCUUAUAUUUUGGAUGACGAUUGUUGGAGAUAGUGGUGAGAUCUCCAAGCCCUCAAAAACGGUCAGGUAAAAUGCUUUAAAAAAUGGAGUGGUUUGUACGCAGAAAUGUGUGUGCGGAGUAGUACUCAUAGUACUAGGCCUCGUUUACUUCUCAACAAAUUUUACAAAAUUUUUUAGAUUCCUCGUCACAUCGAAUCUUUAGACAUAUGCAUGAAGUAUUAAAUAUAGACAAAAAUAAAAACUAAUUGCACAGUUUGGUCGGAAUUAACGAAACGAAUCUUUUGAGCCUAGUUAGUCCAUGAUUAAACAAUAUUUGUCAAAUACAAACAAAAAAGCUACAGUGUCAAUUUUGUAAAAUAUUAUGGAACUAAACAAGGCCUAGGCCUUGUUUUCGAAAACUGAAAAGUUUUUGCAACCGUAGCACCUUUGUUUUUAUUUGAUAAACAUUAUUUAAUUAUAGAGUAACUAGGUUUAAAAGAUUUAUCUUAUGAUUUAUAGAUAAACUGUGUAAUUAGUUUUUAUUUUCGUCUAUAUUUAAUACUGCAUGCAUGUGGCGUAAGAUUCGAUGUGACGGGAAAUUUUAAAAAAAAAUUGGUUUUGAGGGUGAACUAAACAUGGCCCUAGUGAGAGUACGGUGUAUGCUACGCGUGUACCGCGUAUUUUUUUUCCUUCUCACGGUCACGGAGUGGUAUACAGUAUUUAGUGGCAAGAGUAGAGUACAUUCCUUCCUUUAAUUCCGAUAACGUCAGUACUAGUGUACUGCUGCUGCUUGUGCUUGUGAAGCCAUCCGAGAAUCCGAGCAGUCGGAUUGGGCCAUGCAUGCAUUCGUCACGCAAUGUGACGGUCACGGUAGUGAUGAGGCGAUGAACGGGCCGGGUCCGGGUCCAUCCGUGCAUCCAUUUAGGCCUUGUUUAGUUCCGUCUAAAAUCCUAAAAAUUUUCAAGAUUUCUCGUCACAUCGAAUCUUUAGGCACAUGCUUGAAGUAUUAAAUAUAGACAAAAAUAUAAACUAAUUGUAUAUUUUAGUCAAAAUUUACGAGACGAAUCUUUUAAACCUAGUUAGGCUAUGAUUGAACAAUAAUUACCCCGAACAAACGACAGUGCUAUAGUGUCAUUUCAUCUACGAACUAAACACGGCCUUAUUUAUGACACUCCACCACAAAGAUCUGUGGAGCUCAAGGACCAUGUGUGCCAGGAGAUCGGGACUUGGGACUUGGGAGGGAGGCAGGGGCACAUCAGUUUUUCCCAUUUCCCGUCGGAGGGCCAGGGCCAGGACGCCAUGUGGACACGUACCAUCGAUCUCUGCCUCUUUUGGUGGUGAUGCUUUGCUUGUGCAAGCUCGAGGCCAUGGCCAUCCUCUUGUCUCUGUCAGGGUCUGUUUAGAUUGGGAAUAAAAAAAUUUUGGAUGCCACAUCAGAUGUGUCGGAAGGAUGUCGGGAGUGGUUUUUAGAAACUAAUAAAAAAACAAAUUACAUAGCUCGUCAGGAAACUGCAAGACAAAUUUAUUAAGCAUAAUUAAUCUGUCAUUAGCAUAUGUGGGUUACUGUAGCACUUAAGGCUAAUCAUGGAGUAACUAGGCUUAAAAGAUUCGUCUCGCGAUUCUCAACUAAACUGUGUAAUUAGUUUUUUUUAUCUAUAUUUAAUGUUCCAUACAUGUGUCCAAAGAUUCGAUGAGAUGGAUGAAAAAUUUUUAGGUAGGAAACUAAACAGGGCCUAAACAGUCACUGACGCAGUGUGCUGUCAACACACUGGCACGGGGGGCAUGAGUACGCAUAUCCCAACAUUUUAUAACCAUCACAAGAAAUUUAGAUUUCGUCACUGUAGCACUUUCGUUUGUUUGUGAUAAAUUUUAUCUAACCCUAGACUAAUUAGGGUCAAAAGAUUCAUCUCACGAUUUACAGAUAAACUGUGUAAUUAGUUUUUGUUUUUGUCUAUAUUUAAUACUUCAUGCAUGUGCCGCAAAAUUCGAUGUGACAGAGAAUCUUGAAAAAAUUUGUAAACUAAGGGGGUGUUUGGGACUGCUUUGCUCCACAUUUUUCAGCUCUGCUCUAUGUUUUUUAGCCAAACGGUUUCAGCUCCACGCACUUAGUUCGAGGAAAAAGGGUGGAGUUGUGAGAGCACCUAAAGAGGUACUCCACAAACUCCAGUUUUUUAUGGAGCUACUCUACAGUGGAGUUUGUGAAGCAGAGUUUGUGGAGCAGUCCCAAACACCCACUAAACAAGGCCAUCAGCGGGCCAUCAGCUGGUAGUACUCCUAGUAGUGUCAACACGGGCGGUGGCACAGCGGCAGCACGCCGCUCCGCACAAUCGUUGUCCGCCUUGGAUCCUGCGAUGCUGCCAAUUUGCUCAUCUGGUGUGCGCAGUAGUAUAAAAAAAAGAUGCAUGCAGCAUUAACAUAAAUAAAUAAAUAAAUAAAUCAAUAAAUAAAUAAACUACUCCUAGUCAGUCAAAGGGAACAAAUGCUCACCUGGCAAGUCCUCAACUUGCUCCUCCUUUUUCGUCCGCGUCUGCUCCUUUAUUUUUUUCUACUAUAAUAAUAUGCAAUAAUAUCAUGCAUGGAGAGAGCAGAGACAAGACGAGGUCCCCGUUAACAGGAGAAUCUGUACGUUUCCUACUCGAACGAAACAAAUCUCCGGUCUGCGAAUCUGACGACUCACCCUUCACCCGCCGCAAAUCCAACCCUUCCAAAUCGUCGUCUGACGUCGCAAGUGGAUGCCUGCGCGGAAAGUUUCCAGGCCACCUCCUGUCUAAAUUCUUGAUGAAAAUUGCUCUGAACUGGCGCGCGUGAUUUCGCGAUCACGAGCAGUUUUACCUGUAAUCACCCGCCCUGGAUCUCCUCCGGUGUUACGGGAGCUGGGGGGGUACUCUACGCUACUACGCGUGCCUGCCCUGCUGGAGUGGCCACUUGCCGGCUUGCGCUUGUCCUCUUUGGUUUUGGCCCCCUCUCCCCCUCUUGGAUCUUGGGUCUUGCUAUGCUGCCGCGGGCUGGUCUGGUGAAGCAGAAAGCCAGAAGAAGCGCCGGGCAUGGGCCAUGGCUAUAUAGCUCAUCAGAUGAGACAUCAGACAUGAGGCGACGAAAGUCCAACGGCGGAGCGCCCUUCUCCAGGUGAAAUAUUCUUUGCUUUUUGCUGUUGCUAGUGGACGCGCACACUACAGACGACGACGAGAGAGUCCGCGGGCGCUUUUGGCAGGCACCCCAUGGCCCAUGCGCCAUCGCCAUGCAGGAGCAAGCGCAAGCGCGAGAGAGAUGCGGUGCCCAACCGGUCAGAGGAUGCAGUGGCACUGUGGUGGACCUGUGGAUUGUCAAUUGCGGAGAGAGCGAUCGAACUGGUUUUGUUUGGGCCUUGUUUAGUUGGCAAAAACUUUGGUUUUUGGCUACUGUAGCACUUUCGUUUUUAUUUGACAAACAUUGUCUAAUUAUGAAGUAACUAGGCUCAAAAGAUUCAUCUCAUAAAUUACAGGUAAACUGUACAAUUAGUUUUUAUUUUUAUCUAUAUUUAAUGCUCCAUGCAUGCGAUCAAAAAUUCGAUGUGACGGGGAAUCUUGAAAAUUUUUACGAACUAAACAAGGCCUUAGUUCACUAAGAUUUUCCGUCAUAUCAAAUCUUAUAGCACAUGUAAGAAGCACUAAAUAUAGAUAAAAACAAAAAUUAAUUAUAUAGUUUGUCUGUAAUUUACGAGAUGAAUCUUUUAAGUCUAGUUAGUCUAUAGUUGGACAAUAAUUAUCAAAUACAAAAAAAAAUACUAUAAUAUCAAAAUCUAAAAUUUUUUCGCAACUAAACAAGGCCUUCAUUCCUGCAAUGCAAUGCAAUGCAAUCCUGCUCGUGUCGUCACAGCAUUUCCUUCUUUAUUAUUCCCUGGCUUUGGAUGCUCCAUGGCGUAAGUUUACAGACACUCCCUGCAGCGUCAGCAGAGAGCACUGACCAGUAGGAGCACCGUCGCUUGCCUUGCCUUUACCAUGCACUAGUAGAGUGGCGCGCCCUUGCGCGCCAGUGCGGACUAAGUAUAGGUUAAGAUUAAUAAGAAUGGACUUUAGAAAUAUAUAUGUUGGAUAGUAGAAGGGAAUAUACAUCAUGAUAAGACAUAAGUGGGGAGAUCACAUAAGUAUACAUGACAUAGAGUACUUAUGUGAGGGAUAGGCUAUAGAUGUAGUACAUUAGAAAGUUUAGUAAGUAUGAGUGGACUUUGUUCACUGCGUGAUAUUGCUGUUACAAAAGGUUGGCAUCACAUUGGAUUUUUUCCCCCUUUUUUCCGUUCAUGUGGUGCCGAAGGUAAGAUUGCUUAGUCUGCUUUGCAGUAACUGCGGUAUAAUUCCCAACCUGGUUCGUAGCCAUCAGAAUUGCGUUGCGGUGUAACUGUAGAAGUGUUUGUAUAAUUAUAAACAUGUUGUAUUACUUGGAUCUUAACAAUGUUGGAUGUUAAUAGAUGUAGGAAAGCAUGGAAAAGCAUUUUGUUUAUUGGAAGUAGUAUGCACGUACCAUCAUAAUCUGAAAUGUGGUUUGAUGAUUCUGUAGAAACAUAUACACAGGAUAAGUGUUGGUGUAUUGAUAAUGGUAAAUGUGUGCUGAAUUUAUGAUGGGGCAUGUACCUCUGAGUUCCGAAGUAGUUUCAUUACCGUGACGUGUUUAGUAGAAUGGACGCACCUUCGCACGCCCAGGAAGCUGCACGUUGGGGGCAAUAGAGUAAAAUUAUUCUUGAGGACACCAUUCUAUUCAUAACAGAUAACCAAAUAUAUGUGGAACUGUGUUUGUCCUCUAUAAUUUGCUCACAAAAUAGGAGAAUAAUCUGCACUACAAAUAAAAAGACCAAGCCAUAAACUAAGUAACUCCAGCUUUAUUCUUUUGCACUAUGUUAUAUUGGCACCAUAAAAUGCAAUGAGGCAAUUGUAGUCUGCAGUAUCCAAUUGGGUGUGGGGUGUGCUUCUGGGUACAUCUCCUUGAGAAAUGGGGAAGCUGCUUCAUGCUGCCAUCCUUCUAUGGCCACUAGGUUGGGGAGUGAAAAUAAAGGGUACAAUUUUUUUUAAAAAAACCGAAGGCGAUUGAGGCUUUAGGCUAUGAAAUGAAACAACCAGUUGUAUAUGUCAACCAAUAUCUCUAAAACUUAAACCAUUGAAUAAGACUUCUGAAAACAGGGCAGCAACUAAGCUGCAUCAAAAUUCAGAAAUAAAAGCAGGAAAACAAACCUUUGAAAAAUGAGUGAUUUAGCAAGUACUCAUUCAUUAAAAAAACUUCUUACAUCAGUAAUUUUUAAAGACAAGAGGUGAGGAUAAAUAGCUGAAAAUUAAAGGUGAGACAAAUCAACAGGUAAACUUUGUAGUGCAAAGCAUUCAAUAUAUAUUUAAAUUAUUGAUCUCUAAAUUUGUUGGCAACUAUACGUACUAUACCAAGUAGUGAAGGUUGAUUUGGAUGAUGAUUCGUUUACGCUACCUGGACGAUGAUUAAAUACACUUCAAUGUUUGUCAGGUGUUAAGGCUUCAUAUCCAUCUAUAUAAAAUGGACGCAAUAUAUCCAAAAGUAUGACACAACAGCUCUCUUAGGUCCAACGCUCUGAGGAACAGAGCGGUAUCAUUGAAUUUGACAAACAAAAGAACACUCAAUUUGGUAAACCAAAAGAAAACUAUGUAUCCUUUUUCUCUGGUUUGGCAACAACAGGUUAAUUGUCACUACAAAUAGGCUCUAGGAGGAACUAACUGUGGAGAAACAACCCUAUGUAUCUUGUAAGUGUGGCAAGAUCAAUGGUAAAGUUCAGAAAAACAAAGCAAAUGUUCAGAGCUAGCAAUUAUAGUAACUGGUGACAACAAUUCACCCACUAUUGCUUGAAACCAUUUAUAGUUAUCAUUCAACAACAUGAAACUCGAAAGUGAAGCUACAUGUUUUUUAAUGACUUGUAAGUUUAAAUCAUAUCAAAGCCACCCAUGCUUUAUUCUAUAAUUAUUUGUCACCGAGAAACACAGUGGCAGCAGGACAGGUAGACGACUAUUUCUGUGAGAAAUCUAUUCACAAGGAUCCAUCUCAUCAAAGCAUGAUAUGGAGGACAUAAGUUUCAUUUACAACUUGUAACAACUCAGAUCGGUCAACCAUAGCCAAUUCUUUAAAAGUAACCUCUCCAGUUCUCCCCUACACGAUAUCUAAUGACUAAAAGAAACAAAAUUUGUUGUAGAGAUGGAGCAAUCGUGUUAACCUGAUGCAAGAUCUUGGGCUUGCUGCCAAAUUCCACCAACGACUAAGACAUGCUGAGCGACCGUGGUUGUAGGCAGAUGCCAAAGCCUCUAAAAAUAAUGAGGCCUUCAUGGGUGCAGCAGUCCUCCCAACUCAGACCCAUCUACAUAGAUGAAAGAUGAAGUCAAGAUGUAACCUAAUAGUCAUUUAGAAUAUGUUGUCUGCCUUAUAUUGGCUGAGAAUAAUAUAGUUUGUAGAUGAAUGAAAAGGAAAUAUAUUGCCUAUCAAAAAUGAGUAUAUAAGCACAUGUCUGAGGGCAAAAUUAAGGGAUAUGCAUCUCAACAAUAUCGUUCUGCAUUUUUAGGUUGGUUCAUUGUCAAUACCCAUAUAGCCUGUUAAUCUCAGGUGGACCUGUUAAGUGAUUUCUUUGUUUAAAAAUACAUGUGUAUUUAUUUUAUCUAGAGGGGCCUAGAAAAUGUUUUUAUAUUUUUAUUCUUAGGGAGCCGACACUUAUUAGGGAAAACCUGUAAUGAAAGAAAUAUGACACCAUCAUAGGGAUGCUGCAAUGAAGUGAAUACAAACUGGAAAUAAAUGCACAACUUUAACUAUUUAAGCCAGAGGUCAUAAGGUAAUGGGUAUGCACCAACGGCGAAAAAAAACAUCAAGAUCGUCAUAUUAGUGGUUGUGUUGACAGGGAACGCCACCCUUUAACUGCAGCACGAAAAGGUUAGAAAUUAGCACCGACACGCUAUAGUAUUCAGUGACAAAAAAUAAUGAAUUAUUUAGGUAUAGAAACAUAUGUGUGUAUUUUUCGGCUGUGGAAAAAAGAAGGUUAUGGAUAGGCUAACAAAAUUACAAUCUGGAAGCUAUGAAGACAGGUAAAGAACAUAGCAUUUAGGCAUGACUAAGAAAUCGCGGAGCUACUACAAUGAAAGAGAAGUAAUAAAAGAAUACAAACACACCGACGAUUUAGUAAUGAAGGUUGGAACCAUCGAGUGGAACACAAAGAUUGCAUGAACGUACGUACACACAUGAAAGAUGAAGAAACUUUAAGAAUGAACUGUAAAACAGGGAAAGAGGAUCAGAACCUAAAGAACAAAUAAGAAGAUAGCUGAGGAAUUGCUGAGGAUAAAAAAUCAGCAUAAAGUAUCAAACAAGGGCUGCACAAAAAGUACAUUAAUAUAAUUAGUGUUAGAAUGCAGGAACCAGAAAAAUAGGCAAUUUACUGACCAACUACAGAAAUGGUAGUAACAAAUAUAAUUCAGUCACCGCAGGGAAGGAAGAACAAAAAUCAUAACGCUAAAAAAUGAGCAGAUAUAAUAAUUUUAGAACCCAAAAAAAGAGUAGGAUGAAAACGUAACCUGAUGGACGAUCUGUGUUGUAGCCCUGAAUGUAGGCCCUGAAAAAUAAAUCUAAAAUCAGCAAGUGGAAAAAAGCAGAAUCAUUAGAAUGGGGAAAGAUUACAUGUCUUUAUGUAAGGUCCUAAAAUAAAUCAAAUUAUAUGCAAAUCGGGUGUAUGGUGAUCCUUGAUCCGUCUCAUGCACCAUCUCAUUUGAGAAAUCGUUAGAAUCACCAUGUGAAAGAAAUAAGAAUAUGUAGAAAUCUAUUUAACAACUUCUGUUUUGAUAUAUGAGUAUAAGCAGGAAAAAGCAAAGAUUCUAAUGUGUGUACAUGACAUAUCAUUUUAUUUCCAGCACCAUUGCCCAUGGUCAGGCUUAACAGAUGCCAAUUAUAUUUUGGAAAAAGACAUUUGUUUCUAGCAUUAUUGGCAUGGACAUAGGGUCAACAAAAAAAAUGCAAAGUAGCAAUGCCUUGAAAAUAUGAUCAGGUGUAUCAGAAACAUCCCACAGGUACUGUCAUAUGAUCAAAUUUGGAAUAAGUACAUCAUCAGCAACUGCAUAUAUAUGCUCGGACUAAAAUAAAUAAAGAGUACCAUAGGCACAUACUUAUGUAUACUGAAAAGAUUGCGAUAGCAGUACAGUGCAUUGAGACAUGCUGAGAUUCAGAGGGCACAUGCUAUGAAAACCAACGGUAAGAAAUGAAUCAUUAGACUCCAGCUGUGUAACAGUGCAAACCCAAUAGGAUAUGAAAUAUAGUGAAUACACAAGCUCCUUCGUUAAUGCCAAAAGAUAUUAAUACUGGAUUUGUAUACAUGGCUUUGAAACUACAUGGAGUCAAUAUCUUACCAUAGGAGCAGCCUAUAUCCAUAAGUCGAGCAGCCAGAUUGAUAAUGAGUCUUGCUAGAUGUGUCCCAAUCUAACAGAAGACAACAACAUGGAAGCACAUAUUUUUAGAAGUUGUAGAAACUGAAAUAGCAUAACACUAGAUGUAUGCAGGAGCAGCUGAGAAUAAAUUUAACACCACUAAAGAACAAUAGAUGGGAAGAUGUUGUUUUUGUCAUGGAAAUAUUAUACAUGCAGCUUUUAUUUAGGUAAUAAUUCAAAGUGUGUGAAGUACUGCAUGUGCAUAUAAUGUAACAUAAUUCAUAAAAAAUUCUGGAAAACAAAAUCAAACUUACAUGUAGACACCUAUUUAUUUAGCAUCAAGAGCAUAACACAUGGCGGCAACACGGUAGAUUGUGUCGUAUUAAAAAAUAGCUCUAAAUACCUUUCAGUAUCCUGCAUGAUCUUAGAAGAUGUAGUAGAGAAAGAAAAAAGAUUGUAUCACUGUUAGUUUUGGAUGGAACCCAAAAAACAACUAUGUGCAUAAAACAUAUUAAUAUACCAAAGGCAUUAGGUGAACUCGACAUGGCAGUCCAUAGCCACUGCUUGCAGCACGACGCGUGCAGCCUGCAGCCUGCCGGCAAUUGACAUCAGGCAAAUAGGAAAAUAGAUCGAGGCCCGACAUAGUGCUUAGGGUUUCGCUAAGCUGAGGAGCUCACGGUCUCCGACGGCCGCGGCAUCGAGGAGCCCUGUGGAGGGUACAGAAGGGGAGAAGGAGAGAGAGGAAACAGAGAGGGGAGCACCAUCGCGCCGGUCGCCGCCAAGCUUGGCCCUCCUGCUGCGCCAGCAUACCAAGCUUAGGGUUUGGCCAGCUAGGGUUUCGGCCACAGGAGGAGUGAAGGCGUCCCGACAGGAGGAGGCACCGAGGAGGCCGCACGAAGGAUGGAGGAGAGGGAGGAGGUCGUCGGGCCUCACCUGCGUUGCCGCGCCGUCUGGAAGCCUCGCCGUCGCCUGGUGCCCACGCCGCCGCCGCCGGAGGAAAGGGGAAAAAGGAGGAGGAGGAGGAGGAGGAGGAGGAGGCGAAGGAGGAGGCGGUGGCGGAGGACGACGGCGGCCACGGCACGCCAAUCGCCGUCGCGUUCGGCCUGGUGGCGGUGUCGGAGUCGGAGAGAGCGAGAAGUUUCCCGUCUCCGUUUGUCUCUCUUUUUUUUUUUUUUUGCAGACACGAGGGGGCUGCUUAUAUUUGGAGAUGGCCUUGCCGAUGUGGACCAAUAGAAAUCUGCAGGGAUGAGAUGGCGCUGGCGUGGACGAAUCAGAGAAUUUCAGGCGACGUGGCCGGUCUCCCUGCGCAGGGCGUGCCUCCGGAUUGUUAGGUUAAAUGCGCUUUUAGAAUGGACGACAAGACAAAUCGAGCUUUCAUUGUUUCGCGUCCAUGCCUGAUGUCUCCUUACCCUGCUAAUAAUGUCUCUCAUUGGGCACUUUCCUACUAUCAAACAAAAAGCAUGACAGUGUUUUGCUUUCAGCUACCUUUUUUUUCUCCCUAAUAAUGUACUGUAGAAGAGUCUCUAUAUAUAUCGCCAACGACGACCCCGUCUUUAUGACAAAGCGAAAACAAACCAGAAAGCUAGAAAGAGUAGUACGUGUCCGAGACACAGAAUCAAUAUAUAACUUUCAUUUCUAAUCUGGGACACUCGUAGUCCACCGCUGAAUAAUAAUACAGUAUUAACUGACCAACUUUGACACGGCAAUUGGCUAAUGGCUAAUGGGGGUGAAUGGGUGAUGACGCUGCCAAACCAACACGAGUGCUGCCAUUUAUGGGCAGGGAAGGGCUCUUUUCAGCUAGCUAUCACUCACGUCGCUUUAGGUGCAGCUACUGAUCGAACUGCAUCCCUAAACACCCAAGAUGUAUACUAGUAGUAAUCAGUUGGGACGUCGUGUGUCACAUGUCAUUCCAUACAAGGACGUUAUUUGCCUCUUCCUGCAAGAUAGCGAUUAUUCCAACAUUUAUCACUCCUAGGCCUUGUUUACUUCAUCCCAGAAACCAAUUUUUUUUUUUUAAAAUUCUCUAUAAUAUCAAAUCUUGCGGCAUAUGCAUAGAUCAUUAAAUAUAGACGAAAAUAAAAAUUAAUCGUAUAAUUUGUCUGUAAAUCACGAGAUGAAUCUUUUAAGUCUAGUUAAUCUAUUAUUAAAUAAUAUUAUCAAUUAAAAACGAAAAUACUACAGUAUCGAAAUCUAAAAUAUUUUCGAAACUAAACAAGGCCUAGUAGCAAAAUAAAAAAAACACGCAACAAAAGCCUAGACAUUCAACUAGUUUGUCACAAGAAACUGACAGAUGCUGCUUGCUCGAGGAUAUGGAAGGCAAGAUGAGCAUCAGAUCAGAAUCGAAUAGGCCGGUAGCUCGGCUUGAGCUUUCCUUUGCGUAUCUCUCCGUUUCGUGUUGGACGGGCGACCGAGCAAAUGCCACAGAAAAUUGGCGUCGGUAAUUAGCGCGCGGCUGCGGCUGCGGCUGCCGUCUUUGAUGGGGAGUCGAAAGUGACCCUGGACAGAACAACGCUGUCUCAGGGGUGGCCCUCCCGGGCUUAUCUGCACUUCAGAAUUUCGAUUCGAAGUCGCAUUAUUUUGAAAACAUUUGUUGCUUGUAGCAUCGGAAGAUAUGCUAAACAAUUUGCUAGCCAGCGGAUCACCAUCCCGUCCACACCGAAUUCAAAUCGUGAUGAUGAUGCUAGUGGACGAGAGUACGAAACUGAAGAUAUUUCUUUUUUUUUUUCGUCAAACGACAAAAAGGUUAUGAUCGGGCACGUUUAAAUACAUGUAAAUAGAUCGGGACACAGGAUCAGAUCGAGAGGUCGAUUGGUGACGGGUACCAUUUUGUCUGUCGUCCCCGCAGAGAUUAAAAUAAACUAGUCACGCUCAGAGGAAUUAAUAACGUUUGCAUUUUGUAUUGAAAAAAAAAAUCAUCUCCAAAAGGUCAUAAAAAAGACUCAAAAAGCCUGUCCAGCUAGCGCAACAUGAUGCCUUGCAGCAGCAUGUCCCAACACAUGCAUGAUACAGGAGGUUAACAUCCAUACCGGAUUAUCACACGUACAGGAGGGUACUGCACGCAUGAUCAGGAAAAAUAUAAAAAAGGAACAGAAAUAGGAAGACAUGCAUGGGACUCAAGGGGAAAAAAAACUCUACCUCAACGACGAAUGCCGCGCUUCUCUCUCGACAGAUGUUUUUGUCGUGUAAAUUUGCAUUUUCACAGUGACGCGAAGACGUGUUUAGGUGUACUAAAUCAGGCCAAAUCUACCGAAUCUAUUGGUCUUUUAACAGUAUUUUUCUUUCAAAAUAAAUUAAUCAAUAGUAUUUUCUGCCAACGCUUCCAAAUGAACAAGGUAGGCAUGGCGAUGUUCUUCUCUUUUUUUUUUCUCUGAGCUUAUUGCUAUGUUUGCCAAACUUUUUACUCCAUGGGAUGGGCGUAUGCUGUAUGCAUGACUUCCAAAGAAGGGGGCAAGGCAAGGAAACAAAAGCAUGCAUGGGCAAAACGCACAGAGAAUGAUUAAAGACGGUCGAGGUGGUCUGGGCAAUGACUCGAGCUGGGUUCAUCAUGCACAGUGCUCUUGACAAAAUGAUGGGGCGUAAUUAUGCGUUUAUUACAUGCCUCCUCUGCCUUUUUGUUUUGUUGCGAGACAUCUUUGAGAGCCUCUGAAACCCUUUUCGCAUAAAUAUAGACUCCUAUAUUGUUUGCUUCUUUUCCCAGAAAUUGUGGUAUGCCAUGCGCCCAUGCCCAAAAGAAAACAGAUAGUAUUCCGGUAUCUACAAGCUGUGUACUAGCCCACAGCGGCACUACUGUCCUAUUAAAAAUAUUGUUUUAAACUUUUUUAUAUUGUAUUUGACAAUUCAAAAAUAUAUAUAAUAAAUAAAUUAAUAUUAUAUUAUCUCUAAUAAUAAAAUAAGUUAUAACAAAUUACUUAAUAAUUAUAGAAAAAUUUAAAGAAGACGAAUGAUCAUACAAGAUGACACGAAGUUUAAAACAUCACUUCCAAUGCGACGGACGAGUAGAUUUCUGAUGCAAAUGGAAUUGUUUAUUUUCUCUCUAUAUAUACAAACCCAUUAUCAGCCUUGCUACUCUCCCAGCAUGUCCUUUUUGUAGUACACAAGUGGCGACCAAACAUCCCUGCUAAACGUGUUUGAAGGAGCAUCAUGCGCAUGCAUGUUGCAGGCAGGUCUAUGGUCGAGUCGAGUAGCACGAAAGCACCCCGGAUCGUGUACGGAGUACUUCCAAUCAAAAAAAGGAAACGAAAAACUUGCUACUGUUUGCGCUCUGAGAAAGCCGGCACGGCCGCUCUGUCCGUGUCCGCAUCUGCGUGGCCACGUCCUGCCAAAAAUAAAAACGGUGCGUGCCAGCCAUCAGUUCCGCGGCGGGCGCACGGCUCGAAGUCUGUCGACCCAAGACCCGUGCGGGUGCUGCCUCUGCCUGUGCGGUGCCGUCCCCUGACCCUGAGAGAUCCUGACCCGCGCCAGCGCGCGGGCCACGGCCGUUAGCACGCUUGCGCCCGGCGGGCCGGCGUGUUGGGCUGCUGCGGUCUGCCAAGUACUAGCAUCUCACCUCACUCUGGUUGGCGCCGCGGCCUUUUUCGUGCAGUCCGACUUCGGCGUGUAGGCCCGGCCCGCGAUGCCGCGAGGAGAUGCUGCUGCUGAUGGAUCAAGGCAUUCAGCCCGUUUCGAUCGGUGAGCUCGGCUUGGAAUGGAAGGCUUCCGAGAAGCGUGGAGUAGAGUCCUCUAAAAAAAAAAAAAGAAGCGUGUGCGCGGGGGCCAAUUUUUGGCUCCACAGCCAGACCAGGUGGAAGUUACUGUAAAGUUUUACAUUGUCAGACAAUUUAUUUUACAUUUUUCUUUGUCCAAGAAGAUACGAAGUUCACCUUUAUUUGUUUCUUCGGUUUCUUUCUACUUUUGAUCUUGAUUUUUUAUUCUGAAUCCUAAUGGAACACCAAAGAGAAACAAUAUUGUACCUCAACUCCAGUUUCACAUUUUCUUUUCAACUUGGAACAUUUUCUCAUGAAGUUGGAUUUUUUCCUCCUCAACCAAGAAUAUUUUCUCAUGAAGAUGCAAUACAUUUCUAUUUACUUUACAACAUUUUUCUCUUGCACUUGGAUCAACUUUCUCAUGAAUAUAGAACUUUACGAGAAAAAUGUUAUUUGAAAUCAUCCACUGCAGGGAUUGUUACAAAGCCCUUGCUAUAUGGAAAACUAUAAUUUUUCUUAGGCUUGGUUCAUGCCACCGAAAAGCCUAACUACCAUCGGCAAGCCAAAUAGAUUUGACAUUGGCCAGCUACAACGGUUGCGGCAGCAAGGACUGAACACGGGCAACGGAGACAUGUAUCUUUUGCUUGUUCACUUAUCUAAAAAAUCAUAGUUGAAAGUAUCGUUCGCUGAUUUAUUGCUGAAUAGUUGACAGAUUCGGCAGAUAAGCUCAAAUAAACAAUUUUGACAAUGGUAUUUCCAAAACAAAUCAAAUUAGUAAUCCGACUUCAGCAUUAAAAUUCCUUGUCUAUAAAACAUGAUCUAUGUUAGCUAUACUUCAAAUCAAAGUAAUGUAAAAUCAAUGGCAUUGUCCAUUCUACGUGUCAUGGCCUUAAACUUGCAUUGCUUGGCACUACUUUAUCAAAAUUUGAUAUGACUCCAAAAAAUAUUGUUGCUUGCCAAAUUCUCUCAAAACCCUUGAACUUAUUGCUUGGCAUCAAUCCAAACAACCAGUUUCUUUAUGACAUGUAAACCCCUAAAAACCCCGAUCUAGGGCUGCUUUGUUCAUUUCCCAUUUUUUUCACAUGAGAUCCUAUCCUUAUAUUGGGCAAUUCCUCAAUCUAUGGAUGCGGGCUCCCCUAGUUUCAGCGGGAAGUGUAAACAUAAAUACCUUUAAAAAAACAUACUUUCGUAGUCUUUUUUUUUGAAACAAUGCAUAUUCAUACCCAUAUGUGUACUUUAUUGCAAAAAUUGAGAUUCAAAGUCAAUAUAGAAAAUAUCAUGACAAAAUUUAGAUGCAUGUGCACUACAAGACAAAUUCCUAGGAAUUUUGUCUUCUAGUGCACAUGGACUCCCAAUUUUGUCAUUUUUGCAUAAUUUUUUUUCUAGAUUGAGUUUUAAUUCCAAUUUUUGCGACAAUGUACUUAUAUGAAUGCACUAUGGAUACACAUUGUUUAAAAAAAAUUCCAAAUAUGUAUGAAUUUUUUUGAAGAAGUUUGCAUGUUUACACCUACCUUUAGAUUUGCACGUUAUAGUUUGUCUGUUUUGGAGGUAUCCAGGUUUGCCAUAGACAACAUUUAAUUUUGCUUGUCUGGAUUGCAAAUUCUAACCUACAGUACCUAUGUUAGCUAGAAAAAUGCCAGCUAACUAUAUGGAUCCAAUAAAUUAAGCCCGCCAGCUAAAAUACACAUGUACCUUUAAGCAGCAUUGGACCAUUCACUAGAAUUUUCCAACUAUUGGAACUAGAAGUAGCCAACCCACCUAACCCUCCAUCACCAUUUCUCCCCCACCCCUUUUAGGCCUUGUUGUCACCUAACCCUCCAUCACCAUUUCUCCCCCACUCCUUUUAGUCCAUGUUUGUUUCUACACCAAACAAGAGGGUUGAAAGGUGAUUGAGAAGAAUUUUGACUUGCCGGGAUUAAAUCUCCCGGGGAAUUUGACUUGUAGGGAAUUAAAACCCCCUAAUCUCCUCCAACCCCUUGGUUUGGGAUAGUGACCAAGAAGGCCUUGCUAUGGACGGGAGAAUGAAUGAUCAACAUUUGAGGUGGUUGGCUUAUCCUUGGCUCAUUGCUUUUUUUUUUUAAUCCCAUAGGACAAUCGGUACACGGCAAACACGGAUCGACUGAACAUAUAAUUCAAAAAUAAAAACACGUAUAAGAUAUCGCAAUAGUACGGUCACCAUACCAAAAUGGCCAUUUCGAUCUUUGGAAGACGAUCCGAACAACCCCAGUCAGAUAAUCACGGCAUAGCAACUCAAAAAAAAAAAAGACAGAUGGCAUGAACGGCAAGAGAGAGUAAUGGUCGGAAAAAGGCCAAUCAUGCCCAGAGAAAAAAGAUUCGCCUGGUCGUCCUUCCCGGAGACUCGCCGUGCUGUUUGUUAGAAACUCCACCACCUCGUGAGAAUGAGAUCGCAUCGGACGCUCCAGCUUCGUCGGAGCUGCCAAGAUCGGCGCCCAGGAUAACCUCGCGUGCCAUCGCCCCGGCAACAACCCGCCUCCGACAUCGGCUCCUAUAAACCCUAUAAACAGCGCCAGCCGUCACAAAGCCACAAGCAUGGCAACAACAAAGCAGCCAGAGCAAGCGAGCAAGCGCUGCUCGGCGCAAAUGGAAGGCAAAGCCGCGGCGAGCCGCGACGACGCCGACGAGCUGGAUCCCCUCGCCCUCACCCUCGGAUCCAUCUACGCGGCCGCCGCCGCUGCUGCUCCAGCCUCACCGCCGCCGACGGUUGCUCCGCGCGCUGCGCGCCGCCGCCUCAACAAUGGCAUGGCACCCAUCUACGCCGCCGCUGCUGCUCCAGCUUCACCGCCGCCACCGGUUGCUCCGCGCGCCGUCCGCCGCCGCGUCAACCGCGUCAAGCCACGCGCCGACGCCGGCGACCUGCUUGUCCAGGCGCCGUUCCCGUGGGCGACCGAGCGGCCCGCGCAGCACGGCACCCUGGAGAGCUUGCUGCGUCGGGGCGUGACGUCGGUCGAGGGCCAGGCGCGGUGCAAGCGGUGCGGCGCCACGAAGGCCAUCGCCUACGACCUGGAGACCAAGUUCUGGGAGGUGCGCGAGUACAUCGUCACCAACCGCCACGCCAUGUACGACCGCGCGCCCAAGGCGUGGGAGUUCCCGGCGCUGCCGGACUGCGACGCGUGCGGGCACAGGGGAGCCAUGUGGCCGGAGAUCGCCGCCGACAAGCACGAGAUCAACUGGCUGUUCCUCUUCCUCGGCCAGAUGCUCGGCUGCUGCACGCUGGACCAGCUCAAGUACUUCUGCAUGAACAACGGACGACACCGCACCGGCGCCAAGAACAGGGUGCUUUAUUACGCCUACAUUGAGAUGUCCAACCAGCUCUUGUCGUUUGAUUGAAUAUAUAUGGUGCUAGACCGGUAAAAUUAUCCUGAUGCGCAUCUAGAUUAUCUAUCUAUCAGUGAGCAAUCCGAUAUAUUUUGAUCUAGGUUGUAUGUUGUUUUGUUGAUCCAGUAGUUUCAGUUGAAAAAGAUCUAGAUGCUAUGAUAACAAAACGUAGUGUUUGCUUCAUUAUUGUUACACUUGGUUGUAACUCUAUAUAUUUUCUAAAUGCUAGAAAUAGAGAUUUUGGUGAGAAUUUAUCCUUCAACAGCUCGUCUAGAUGGUUAUGCAAAUAUAGUCAUCUUUUAUUUCGAAUUUUUCGCUAGUCAAAAAUAGAAGAUGAGAAUGGCGCGUGACCUGCUUGAGUGACUGUAACCAUGAAGUUGCUUAAUCAAUGAAGCUCCUAUUACCCCAAAAGAUAGAAUGGCUCUCUAGAGGGCGUACGAGAUAUCGAAAAACUGUUGGAUAGUGAAAAUGUAUAAAAAGCGAUUUUUAUGAAAAUAACUCUAUAAAUAAUGAUUUACAGAGUGAGGUUUAAAAUGACUCUAUAAAUGAUGAUUUAGAGAAGAAGGUUUAGAUAGACUCUUAGAGAUGCUCUAAUAUAUAUUAUAUAUAUUAUGUACUAUACGCUCCGCAGCGAUGAGCAUAUUUUUAUGUGUCAAUGUGCACUCCGCAUGCGAGCAAGUAUGACUAGAUUUAUAUAAAAUAUUAACAAUAUUUAUCUUUAAAUAAAUUUAUUUUUCUCGAAUACGCAAAAGGUUUGCGCAUAUUUGUAUUAAGUAGAAGCAAGUUUUUUACAAAAGCGACGAGGCGCUGGCGGCGGAGGUUUGACAUGUGGUACAAGAACAUUGCCCUCCCCGCAACACGACAUGCUAACUACUCCCGAACUAGACAACCUAAGUUCUGAGCCCCGGCUUCUAUCCAGAGAUCUCCAGAGAUCUUGAUGGCCGACUCCAGCUGACCGACCGUGGCCGGGAGCCCCUGAAGCAGCGCGCAUUGCGUUCUUUCCAUAUCUCCCAUGCUACCAAGGCGAAUAAAGAGUCCGCUCAUUUACGCUUAUCUCCGUGCCAUCUGUGUCUCCAGCUCUCCCACCAUGCUAGCCAGAAAAUAGAUUCAACAAAAUCUUGUGUACUAUAAAUAUUGAUAUUUUUAUAUAAAUUUAGUUAAAAUUAUUUUUUAGAAAGCAAGAAUGACAGUUAAUAAGGGACAAAGAAAUUAAAGUACUGCUGCCUUAUUUCUUUUGUCCUUGAUUUUAUCGAUUUGUUUUCUUAAAAUUUCAUAGCGCCCAAAGUUUUUCUAUAUGAAAUUCACAUAAAUACUCGUGGGAAAUAUUUCAGUUAUAAAGAUGUGGCCUUAUGAAAUAGUUUUGCACACCUUUUCUAUUCCCCAGUUACCUGAAUUCUGUUUCCCUCUCAGCCUCUCAGGUGACACUUUUGUCUGAUGGAUGUCUUCAAGAUCCGUGCGCCAAGCUGUUUGGUUUAUUGGGUCCUAUAUUUCUUAUCCGUCGCCUGAAAGAAUCCCAGAUUUCAUACACCUGAAAUCUUAGCAAUACCCGUUAAUAUUGUUUUGGUAAAUGAUAAAGAAAUAUUAUGAAAAAAAUUCUUUGAUGUCUCAUUACAAAUUUUAAAGUAUUUUCUAUUUCAUUGAUAUUUUGCAAACAAAUGGUAAAUAACUAGCUACCUCUUCAUUGUCUCAUAGCAAUUUUGAAAGAAUUUGAAGAUUGUUGUAGAGCAUUGAAAAGUUGCUUUUUGGGACCAAUGAUCAUCACCCAAGGUUUUGUAGAUCAUUUUAAACAUUCAAUGGAGAGCUGGGAGCCAUCUUUUUUAGCUAUUAAAAAACAUCUAGUUCAUAUGAUAUUUACUCAAAUCUUAGUUAUUCUUGUCGCAAGAGCACAUGCAAGUUGAAAUACCAUCCAUUUAGUGAAAACGUAAUCCCAUUCAACAGAUACCACAAUUUUCAUCCACUCAAUAGAAGUUGCAAUCUACUCGCUCCAUUCUGAAAUAUCGUAUUCUAGCCAUUUUCAGACAAAAUAAUUAACAGAGAGUGCAAUAGACGCAUUUAUCCGUCCCUUAGCUUCCUAACUAAUCUAUCGAAUCACAUCGUCUACAGUCGGUUGAUCUAGGCCGUUCAAGUAGAAUUUGACGGUACACAGUUCCCCUGUGCUGCAUCCCUUGGGCCUCAGCCCAACAAGGACGCGCUGCAUGGAAGACGAGAGGAAAUUUAUGGUCAAUUCACUCAUGACGUUAACACUACAACGGAUCAGCAGCUUAUUUAGUAAAUACUUUGUCUAGCUGGGCGUACCCAAACCGCACAUACCACGGCCCAAUGCCAGAUCGAAGCCCAUGGCCCAAAGUAGCUGACGCCAUUGUUAUUUACACCAACUAAACACGGCAAUCGGUAGGUAUAUCCUUGACCUUCUAGUCCUCAGCGUCAUCGAGGGGGAUUUCGCGCACUGCCUGGGGAAGGAGGUACCUGGUCUGGGAGUUGGGGACUUGGGAGGACUAGAAGGUCAGUAUUAGCUAUUUUUUCAACCGGUGGCGCCGCCGGUGACGAACGGGGCUCAUUAUCUCAUCUGGCCCUUCGUCAACCUGCGCACAACGGAGGGAAACUCCUCCCAGACGUGACUUUUCUGGGGCUGGCGUGCGCGGACGGGUUCCUCCAUGGCGUGCACUGGCAUAGUAUUAGUAGUCAUUGCAAAGCCAAGAGGAGACUCGAACAGAGAAGGGGGAAGGACCGAAGGAGAGACGCAGGAAGAAGCAAGGAUUGCCAUACGCUGGUACUUUUAUGUAUUCAUUCGUGCGUCGUUUUGCUGUUUCUGUUUGCGGUUGCCGUCGAUUUCCUCAUGGUCGUGUCAUCUGCAGACUGCACUGCAGCCGCGCUGCGCUGCGAGAGAAGAGGGCGGGGGGAGCACGUGGAGGAGCCAAAGGGGGUGAUUCCCUUGCUGGGCUAAAGGUUUGGCCUUCAUUUCCCGCCUCUUCCGCAUCUUGAGUUGUCGUGAACUCGUGAUUAUAACAAGACAGCAAGACCUCGGGGGCGGCAAACUGUCGAGCACCUGCUACUGCUAGCGUCUCUGUGCCACCGGGUAGAUUAGCUUUGUCCUGGUUGUGGUGGAACAGGUCGCCAGUAAUUAGUCUCCUGCUGCUCCUCUCUUCUUUAAACGGCUGCUUAAUUCGGUUCCGUCUAGGAAUUCUGGUUUUGAUAUGUUGCUCUGCUUCUAUCAUCAGACUCUUAGUUGGUUAAUGCUCCUGAACAUGCCUCAGUGAAUUGCACAUUAAUUAUGAAGUUUUGGGGUGAAAUAAUAAGCAAUAUACUUACUGCAUCUAGCAAGAAUUGAGUCAAACUGCACGACUAGUUUCCCCAUCAAUUAAUUAAAAUUAAAAAUGUUACACAACUUUGUAGACGACAAUAAUAAUAAAGCCUUAGCUCUUGUCUGCUAGUAGUUUAUAGAAUAAAGGCAUAAUUAGAUAAGUGUAGUACUAGUCCUUGAUACCUCAUAAAUAUGAGGAAACUGAAAUCCUUACAGUUGAUAGUAUACAUGUCUAGUUGGUUCGAGGAAUCGUGUACUGAAAUUUCUAACUUAUUAAGUGGAUUUCGUAAAUUUAUUCAGUUGUUUAAUAAUUUCAGGACUCAAGAGGCAAUGCCAGCACCAGCACCAUCGAUUAGUCUGGGAGCUCCAACUCCCUAUAUAACAUCUCAUGGAUCCAAAGUUGCACGCCUACACAUGUAUGACUGGAUUGUGCUAGUUCUGCUAGCUGUAUUGGAUGGAGUUCUCAAUAUAAUAGAACCAUUCCAUCGGUUUGUCGGAUCAGAAAUGAUGACAGACCUCAGAUACCCCAUGAAGGACAACACAGUGCCAUUUUGGGCUGUGCCGGUAACAUACUGUUCUCUUGUAGUGUUACCUUGUCAAUUCUGAUGAACCUCUUGAAUACCUUUUCUUCAAAUCAUGCUUAUACAGAUAGUUGGUAUCAUUGGGCCUAUCAUUAUUAUGACAGUGAUAUACUUUAAGAAGAGAAAUGUAUAUGAUCUGCAUCAUGGAAUACUAGGUACACCAACUUUCUUGCCUGAUUCAUUGUGCUAGUUUAUCCAUUUAUUACUUAUUCUGAAAUCUAGCUUGUCCUAGCAGGUCUCUUGUUUUCAGUGCUUAUCACUGCUGUUUUAACUGAUGCGAUCAAGGAUGGUGUUGGGCGACCGCGUCCAGAUUUCUUCUGGCGUUGCUUCCCUGAUGGAAUACCUGUAAGAUUCAUAGCUUUAGCCAGACCUUAAUAAUAACUCACUUGAAGCCCUUCUGCAAUUACAUUGCAUGUAAAUUGUAUAAGAGAGCUUACGAGUUUACUUGGCCUUUAGGAUUAUAAUAACUUUACUACAGGCGCCAUAUGCCAUGGCGAGGCGAGUGUUAUUAAAGAAGGUCACAAGAGCUUUCCAAGUGGUCAUAGUUCAUGUAAGUGACAUUAUUCUUUACAAAUAUAGGGAUUAGCCCCAUAUUACUAGAACUAACAGUUUGGGAAAUGUCCUAUUUCAUGACGUGCUAACUACCUUCUUAGCAGUUUAGCGAAUAUAAUAAUUGAUGCCUCUUUUGUCUUGGUUCCAAUCUUGUUUUAGCUACUGCUGAAUAUUUCUUAAUCAGCUAUGGAACAAGAUGUUUCAUAUGUUUUGUAUACAAUGUCUUUUUUUAAAAGUUCUCAAGAAACGAAUGUAUUGAUGUUUUUUUCCACUUCUAUCUGUCCAUGUGAUCCUUUUAGCCCUUUGUUAAAUAUUGCAUUCUUAUUUCACUCUUCCAUUGAGUGUAUGAAUUAAAAGUUGAAGUCAGCCUGACCCAAAAGAUUGCUUCUGCAAAUGAUAGUACGAAUUAUCUUGAUAAUGUAAAAAUAUAAUGCUGAUAAUUUGCUGUAUAAGCACAAUGUACAUAUAUUGACAAAGUAGUCCAUCAACCCGUGCUCCUGCAUGGAUUGUAAUUUUAAUAGACAUAAGUGUUACAAGUUCGUUGAUAAAUUUAGGGCCUACAACUAAUAAAAGUUGUUUAUCUUUGUUGUCUCUCGUUUAAUCUCGUAUUCUAAAUCAAUACUCAUAUAGGUGCUUCGUAAUCUUUAUAUGAUUGUGAUAAACUAAAAUUACCAAUUACUCUAUAUGUUUUUCCCAUUCCCAUUCAUAGUCUCUGCCCUUUGGAUUGCACUUUCAUGCUUAUUUGACAUGUGUUUAGUUAAAUCCUUAGCUUGGGCUUUGUGGUUAACAUGGAAAUCAAUUAUACUCAUCGCUUCUUGCAUACAUGUAUACAUGGUCUGCACUCUUCAUGGUGACACACAUUAUGCAGUAUACCUUGUGUUUGUUUUUUUAUGCAGUACACCAAUCAAUUCCAGCUUUUAUUUGGUCAGUGGAUUACUCAUAGAUUUAUGUUUAUAUCUUAGGGUCUUUUGCUGGCCUUGGCUUCCUUUCAUGGUAUCUGGCUGGUAAAAUCAAAGUAUUCGAUCGUAAAGGGCAUGUUGCAAAACUCUGCAUUGUCCUUUCCCCUCUGCUUCUUGCAGCCUUAGUGGCAGUUUCUCGAGUUGAUGACUAUUGGCAUCACUGGCAAGAUGUAUGUACUGGUGGAUUACUUGGUAAGUAUCGAGUAACACUCCCUCCCAUUCCCUCCACAGGCACCACAAAGAAAUGGAAAUGUUAAUGUACAUAUGGUUGUUUUAUGCCAUGUAUGUGCAUAUGGUUCUCAAAGUAUAAGUUAUUGUUACAAUGUGCAGGGUUGACAGUCGCUUCCAUUUGCUACCUGCAGUUUUUUCCACUACCAUCUGAUGAAAAUGGUAUGCUUCUAACUCUGUCCUUAAUAAAUUGUGAUUAAUGUUCUGUCCAUCUUUGCUUAUCUCAAAUUAUAGUGAAUAUGUGGUUGGGGGUGUCUAUCCUGGGUUUACUUGAGGUUGUUUCCAAGUAAUGAAAAAACAAUCAAGCUUGGACUAGAAAAAUAAAUAAUCACCCAAUGUUUAUGUAUAAUUUUGAGGUGCCAUACAUUUGGCGAGUGGUGACAAGCAUGCUGUGUAAUGAACUAAUGACCCAAUGUUUAUGAAAUGAAGAGUAUUCAUUUUUAGUAAAAUGGCAAUCCCCUUUUGAUAUAAACCUACUGCAGCUGGACUAACAUCCCUGAAGAAUGUUUUUAACUAAAUAAUUGUGGUCUCGUUGAUAGACAUUUUCAAUUUCAACAGUUGCAAUAAUACUUAUGGAAGUUAUUCUUAACCUGCCUCAAAAUGCUCUGCAUCAGGAUUUUUGCUAUCUAGAAACAGAAAUAUUCGAGUUAAUAGCUUUCAAAAUAGUCUGCCUGCAGGAAAACUUGCACCUAGUGUAUUUCUUCUCUCCCUUGAUCUUUUUAACUCUUCCUGAAUUGGACACUUGUGUCUAGCAUCUAGCAUGCUCCUGCUUUGGCAGUGUCAUGAGUAUAAAGAGACUGACAAAGGUGCUACGUAGUACUGUGUUAGUUAGUAAGAAAGCCCCUGGAUGUGGCAGGCUGUGUUGGAAGAUGACUAGUACUAACACUUGUAUUGGCAGGGUUCAUGCAAGAAAAUAGGACAUGGUGCAGUGCCUUGGUUUUUACAGUUUGUCUUGGUAUACACCAUGUCAUUGCUAGUCCUUGCACGAACUAAGAUGAUGAGUUCAGUGUGCAUGGCACGGAGAGAAGAUAGGUUUAGGUUAAAAGACUAAGAAACAAAUUCUCAAAAGGUUAUAUUAGCAGUUGGUAGCCUAAUACUGUGCACAGAGAUCCUCCAAUAAAAAGUUGAAAAAUAUCAGCCAUUCCAAGUAACAGAUAGGUACAAACCAAAGUUUGCAGGCUCUCAAGUCUCAUGGGCUCAAAUUUUUUUCUUAACAAAGCUCAUGGGCUCAAAAAAAAUUGAACAAAGUUUGGGCUCUUUUUUUUUUGAACAAAGCUCAUGGGCUCAUUUAGACACUGCUGUUUACUGCCACGGUCAACCAACUGUGCCCUUUGCUCGCUGUCCUGGAAACUUGUACUCCCUCCGUUUUGAUUUAGAGGUCGUUUUGGCUUUUAUAGAUAUACAUAUUUUAUUAUGUAUCUAUAAAUACCAUAUAUCUAAUUGCAUAGCAAAAGCUAUGUACAUAGAAAAGCCAAAAUAAUCUAUAGUUUGGGACAAAGAGUGGUAUCCAUUAUGCAUUAUUUUCAUAGAAUGGUCUGGUGGGUGUUUGAGUAAGCAUGAUAUUUCGCAAAACUCACAUGCCGGUAUUGGAUACUCCACGGAUAGUCAUACAGAUACUCUGUAUCAUGGGUGUGUCGAAAAUUUACUCAAUUUAUAAAUGCUAAGAAUAACCCAGAUGCUCCUGAUAUACCUGACCGGUACGGUGGUACAUAUGGGAUACCUUGACACCUAUCACCAUGCUCAGUAUAGGAGCCCUUAUCAAUUCCAAUGGCGGUUAGUCUGCCCAUGGUGGUCAAGUCGGAGGAUUUCCUGUUGUCAACGACCUAGAUAUUGCAACUCGGGUCUUGGCUCCUUGUUGGCCUGAACGUACCUUAUACAAUGUUAUAGCUCUGUCAGGAUUGAUUGUUAAAUGUUAAUAGUUUCACCUUGUGGAAUGAUUGUUAAGUGUUAAUAGUUUCACCUUUUCCAACGGUCAGGAUUGUGGCCUCACGCGUAUUUCCGACACAUUGGUGAGCCAGAGGGUGACAACCAAGUGCAACCCACGUACAUGAGCCGUCGCAGCUCGAUUCAUAACGGUUCCUUUCACAGUCCUGAUGCAGUGGAAAUGAGGAGCACGAGCCGAGCACUGGAUUCCAUGGAAGCUGGUGGGAGAGUCCAAUGAUGGAAUAAUAACACCAAGGGCCACAGACCAUUGUAAAUUUUGUAAUAUAACCUUCUAGUGCUUAGUAUAGCAAAGAUUUUGUUCGAUUCCUUAUUAUGUAACUUCCAAAGCAUAGAAUAUAAAGCACAUGUCUCUGGUGAGAAUUCUUGGCUAGAUUCCAUCUCCUUUUGGAACAUAUAUUUGAUAUAUGACGUCGAUGCGUCAUGAGACACAACACAAAGAAGCAUGAGCUUAUAUGUACUAUUUUGGAGGAUCUUAAAAUGCGGUUCCUUUAGCAUCAGAAUGAGCCACAAACAGGUUGUUGGAAGCAGAUGGCUUCGGCAUCCUCUAUGCAUUAUGAUGAUCACUUUUCUGCUAGUGUCCUCUGAAGUGCAAUUGAUUACUGCGUCGCUGUGAUCCGGCCGCCAGCCAUGUGAUUCAGGUGAUGAUCGAUACAAGAAGGAACUCAUUCGGUGCACUGGGGUUUGUUGGGAGUUGGGACUGGAACCAUUAUCGCAGCAUCAUGUUCCUCUACAGUGGCCAGAUUUGAACGGAUCCAUUUCAGGCACCUGCACAACAUGACCAAAUUGGUCCUGUCGUCCUUGUUAAACUGGGACUGGACAAAUAAAAGCCUGCAAGCUGACAGGCACACCGACAUGUGAGUUGAUAUUUUCUUAGACCGAAUGAUGCCGAAUUGAUAGCGAGCCUGGCACACCGACAUGUGACCCGACCUGUUCUCGCUUUUCUCGUGAUAAACUACUGUAGUAAUAGUACUAUCAGUGCUCCUAUUAGGCAACAAAGAUGGUCGAUCGUAUGGACAUGCUAGUGCAGACGCUACUUUCUGGUAACGGAGCAUCAUAUUUGUCUUGACUACUGAAAAAGCCAUGCAGCCGCAGUUACCUAAACUUUUCAGCGAAGGAUGCAGGGAUCAAUCAUGAAGACAGAGCAGAAGAUGAUGGUCCAGUCCUGAUUUUUUUUUUCUUUUUCUUUUUCUCCAAAUUCAGUCAGAUUAAAUGAUGGGCGACUUAUCAGACGUGGAGAUUUUUUUUUUCCAGCACAGUUGAAUAGUUUCUGGCCAUGGACAGCAGCACAAAACAUAACUCUCAGAAAAUUUCAGUGGUGUGUCCUUGUGAUGAGGUCUGACCAGAUCAGACAGACCUGAAUGAAUUAUUGACAUCACAACAACCCGGCCGAUAAACUCCUAUCCAGGUGUGUUUGUUGACGAAUAAUUCAGGACGGUACCGUUGCACUGUCAAUUCUCAAUUCUCAUACCAUGGAAUCUGAAUCUGAAAACCUGGAAGGAUCGGAGGAGGACAGAUAUAUUGUGAUUAGCUGGUGCAGGUGCACACUGUCCUUUCGUCCCCCUCUCUUUUCUCGACAGGUGUAUGAACAUGUGUUUAGUCUUUUGGGGCAACAAGAUUAUGGUUUGCAUAGGAUUCCUGGGUUUAUGCUCUCUGCUGUACAAUACAACUGCUAGUGAGUGCUGCCAACUUGCAAGAAACCAAGGACCGGCAGCAGGAUCAAUGGCCAGAGGAGAGAAAUCAGAGAUGGGCCGAGUUGUUCAGGAAAGAUGGAGAAGGAGGGAGGGAGGGAAUCUACUCAUCCUACCGUCCUACAGUAGUAGCACGUACGAGUUGGUCAUAAUGUAUUACUUAUGUUGCUAAUGAGAAUCAACGACUAGGGCCUCUGUGACAGCUGUUGAGAUGCGUGUCUGUCAAAGCGCGCGCGGAGCCCCAAAGUGCGCAAAGGUGUAGGGAGUAGAAUUUUAGCCCGAUCGAUAGGCAACGUGCACAUGCGUGGAGCUGACAAGAGAUUUGUUUGACUCUGGAAUAUUUGAAGCGUUGCUACUUUGGCCUUGUUUAGUUCGUAAAAAUUUUUGUUUUUGGCUACUGUAGCAUUUCGUUUUUUAUUUGACAAACAUUGUCCAAUCACGGAGUAACUAGGCUCAAAAGAUUCAUCUCACAAAUUACAGAUAAACUGUGCAGUUAGUUUUUAUUUUUGUUUAUAUUUAAUGCUCCAUGCAUACGACAAAAAAUUCGAUGUGACGGAGAAUUUUGAAAAUUUUUGCGAACUAAACAAGGCCUUUGCUAGGCAAUGCACGGCGCCAAAUAGUUUUGACCCUGAAGCAGCCUCAAGUGCGUGUUGUGCAGAGCUGUACUCCCUUCCUAUACGACGACUGACCGAAUCAUGGCAGCAAGACCUCGAGAGUCGAGUAUGUUAGUCUUAUAUUUGCAUACGAGUAUGCUGCAAAUUGCAGUGACUAAUCUAUGUACUAUGGCCCAUUUCCAUGUGAUUCUGGAGCGGAUGCUACUCAAGGACUUCGUAGUUUGCUUUCAACGGUGUAGGCGGUGCGAAUGUUAGAUGUACUACUAGCUGUAAUAACUUAUAAACAGUGCAGUCUGCUGCAUGAACAACCGGCAGAAGUAAAUACAGUAGCCAAUUUGUCUAGCCCAGCUAGGGACGUUUUUCCGGUAGUGGUAGCUAGCUUUCUCCAUCAACGGUACACUGUACCGGUACACUGAAGUUAACACCUCGCUGUCACUUUAUAUUUGUGCAGGACAAGUUGAACAGGGUCGUCGGCAGCGUGUGGUACUUCGCUAAUAGUGCUGUUUAUAUUCUUCAUGGUCAUUGGUCAAACAAGUCGUCUUUCUCAUACUUAUUAACAGCUGAUGGAUAGGAGCUAGAGGAUAAUAUGAGAUGACGAAGAUAUACAUAUAUAUGUGUGUGAAUGCAUUGUGGACUUUUCUUUUUUUUUUUUUAGUGAAAGAGUUCCGUCAACUACUAGGUACUGCGUGCAACAACGUGUGUAAAGUUGUCAAGAACCGGCGGAAAGUUUGUGUGCAGUGUAUGUAGUACACUACAUGGUUAUAAACACAAGUGCAAACGUACGUAGAGAGCUGGGAAAUGGCCACACGAGAGGAGCGGAGAGAAGAGUGGGUUACAACUCGAUCGCGGCGAUCGACGUGAUUAAAUUGACGACGCCAAGUCUGAUUUGGUUCGGUGUUAGUUGUUGGGCCGAUCGAGUACCGAUAGCUAGUCAAAGAAAUCGCUCGUAGACAGACAGUUUAUUGAGAGAGAUGGGCAGCAGCACAGCCAUACGCCCAUAUCUUUUGAAACGGUACAUGUAAAUAAGUGGGAGUGCAACCAUCCAUCCAUCCACAUAUAUUAAACUAAGUACUACCACUCCUUAUAAUAAUCAUUUUGUAUAUGUGCAAGUACAUGCGUGAUGCAGCCUAACCACUUGACCAACAAGGCCAGCAGCCCAAGCAGCUUGCUUUUGAUGCGCUCGACCACUGAGCUGAUGAUCGAGCACCACUUGCUGACUAGUAUUAUUAGCAAUAAUAGUUAAUUAAUCCGCGCGAUUAGGCACGGAUCGGGGGCAUGUGGGCGGUUUGACCGGUGUCCAUGCCCCGCCAAUGGCGUCGUCGCGGAGAGCUGCUACUGCUAGAGACGUCGUCCGCCCACGACGCUGUCCGUCUCUCAACGAAAAAGCGCCGUGUGCUUAUCCGUCCACAGUCCACACACACACACACACACACCUGACCGCGGCAUGUGGUGGGAUGCAUAUGCUCCCGCCGCUGCUGCUGUGUUGUGACCUGGUGGGGUGAGACCCUCUACUACUGCUUCUCCUUCCGGCGUGCUCCCCGAGAGCCACACCCGCUGGACACACGCAAGCCGCGGAUUAGCUUUAUAUUUAUAAUCGAUCGGACAGGUGGAUGAAUAUCUUCUCCGCGUUGCGUUUUGGUUGCUUCUUGAUCCGGAAAGCUACAGACUAGUAGUAGUAGUAAUAACAAUUAACAACAGGGCCGCCCAACUUGCGUUGUCGAAUUCACAACAGUGGUGCUGCUGCUUCGGCGAUAAGCUAGCUGACGAUGGACCUGACUCCUGAGGAUGUGGUGCUCCGGCAAAUCGUCGCUCGUGCAUUCUAGCCCUCGAGAAGUAACGUAAUAUCAUGUUUUUAUCAUUUUAGCCCCUCGAUUUAUGUUCUAGUAGCUCCCAGUACCGUCGUCGUUUAUUGUUUGUUUACUUGUUUAGGCGUCCUGUUCGUUUGGGAUUAUCAAUCAAAUCUGCUAAUUACUUAUAAUAAAUUAGUUAACAGUAUUUUCUGUCAUGAUUUAUCAGCCAAACGAACAAGGCGUUGAUUGAGUUUGGCCAUGUGUGGCCAGAUUUGAAUUUUUUCACAAGAAAUAUAUAAUUGCAGUUCAGUUUCAGUAUCCAUAGAAAAUUAGAAAUGUGACUGCGUGAAAAAGAUCGAUUACCCUGUGAAGGGCGAAAGUGCGUAUGAGCUGUACUCCCUUCAUAAUGAAACCAGUUUCUAGACUACCGCGAGUGCCAGUACACCACUUGCACAUACAGUUAGGCCUUGUUUAGUUCGCAAAAAUUUUCAAAAUUCCCCGUCACAUCGAAUCUUUAGUCACAUGCAUGGAGCAUUAAAUAAAGAUAAAAAUAAAAACUAAUUACACAGUUUACCUGAAAUUUGUGAGAUGAAUCUUUUGAGCCUAGUUACUCCGUGAUUGGAUAAUGUUUGUCAAAUAAAAACGAAAGUGCUACAGUAGCUAAAAAACCAUAAUUUUGCCAACUAAACAAGGCCUUAGCCAAGGAAGACCAGCUACACGCUACGAAAUGCACAGUAGUAUAUUCAGAGAGUCCUUGUUUCUGUCUUUAUACACCAGCUAGUCAUACGCCACGGAAAAUACAGAACGCGUCGACUGCGGGCCGAGGCCAGAGAACCACAAGGUGUAACGUGCAAAAUUAACAUCCAUCCAGCAAAAAACUAUCGCCUCUCGCAUGCAACUGGGAGAAAAAGCAAGACCCGUGGAAAACGACCUAACACUGGGCAUCAAGAUCCGAGCCGUGGGUCAGCAGGUCAGGCUAGUCCCCAUACAAAAACAUGCUCCACAUAAACAUUAGUACUACUAUGAUCACUAAACAUAUGCAUAAAACGCAGCGUUGACUCGCUAUAAAAGCCCCCACCAUAUACACAAGUCUACAAGACCAGCAGCGGCACCUACUCCACAUGCGGGGGGGUUCAUUAGUUUAACACCAAAUUGGUACUCCCACGCAGAGGCACCUGAAUAAUCAAGUGACGAAGAGCAGAUGAUGACGCUAACCUUGAGCUCUCGCCUCCACCCAAACCGACGGACGACACGAGGGACCGGGAACGCGACACGCCCGCAGCAGCCCCUGCAUGUGCAUGUGGCCACCCGGCAGGCACACAACCGCGGCCGCCUGCCUGCCUGCCGGAGCAAAAGAAAAAAACACGGCAGACUUCGGUGCCACUGCAUAGCAGCCUUGCCCGGCCGUCGCCGCCCACUUGCCACAAGAGACAGUAAAAAAAAAAAAGGGAAAGCAAACGCGAUCGUUUCCACACGCAGGACGGCAGGAGCUCUGCCGCCGAGGACCCGCCCGGUGGGGCGAUGGGUCUCCAAAGUCGCGCUGCCCCUCUGGCGGUUUUGUACCCGGGCGUCGCGUCCUGUUCCUGGUGAUGGUGUGGUGCCUAUCCCCAACUAACCUGCCCCAGCCAUGUACUAGUAGUCUGCUGCCUGAUUGCCUCCUUUGCUGUGCAAUGCAGCUGUGUGUGCAGUGCAGUGCAGUGCACCACGCCCACACUGCACCCUGCGAGGGCAACGGACCCGCUGGCUCCCUCGCGACUUCUUCGUUCACGAGGGGUCAGUGAGUCCGGCCAGACGCCUUUCGUUGCCAUGCAUGCUUCGACGCGGUGGGAAACUUCCGGGAACGCAGCGGUGUGUGGGGGGGUGGGGGGCGUGCUUGACUUCUCGUAGCGACUAGCGAGAGAGAGAGAGAGAGACAAAUCAAAAGCGCGGGGGUGCUGGCUGUUUGGACAGCAGGUAAAGCCUAGCUAGCUUCUCGUCAAAAGGCAGCAUCGAUUCAGGUUUUCCAUGGCGUGGCAUGCAACAAAAGCUGCUAGCCUACACUUGCGUCCUUGUCCUUCUUGGAAUCUUGGGCCCCUUCUACUAAAGAUGAAAACGAUCGAAAACGAUCGAAAAUGGAAUUACAAUGUAAAAAACGAAAACAGUCGGUACAGAAUAUUUCUAUAUUUUAGCAAUUAAAGAGUACAAAAAAAAUAAAAAUGGUUGUAAAACCAACUGAAACUGACAAAUUUUUAUGUUUGACAAAAUUCGAAAACAGUUUCAUAAUAUAGAAAACGAUAUCAUAAUGUAGAAAACGAAAGCGGUCGGUACGGAAUAUUUCCGUUCCGUUUUCAUCGUUACCUUCUACACGGUUACUACUAUUUUAGCCUGGCACAGCCGCACACGCAGUAAGAUCUACGGAGUACAGUACUAGUAGAAGCAACACCAUUACAGUACCUACUAGCACUGUAGUACUAGAAUCCGAGCAAGAGUGUACAGGGGUGCUGUAGAUGAGCAAGAGUGUGACGGUACUGGUGCUGUGUGCUCGUACGUACUUGCAGGCGAGGGAAUGUAAAGCUGAGAAAAGCGUGCAAUGCAGCCGAUGUGAGAUGUUUUCAAACGUUUCUCCGUUGGAAACCUGCAGCACAUGUAGGACGUGUCCUGUGCCACAUGGUUGCUGCGAGGAGCCGAGGACUAGCAACAGCAAUAACCACACAGCAGGUAAUCAUGUCGACUGCACCGUGGUACACGCAUUUUCUGUGCCAUGCUAGCCUAGCUAGGACUAUUCCAACCGUCAGCCUUUCCUUUCACCUCACCAUAGGUUACUCGUAGCUAGUGUAGUUCUUGCUUCUAGGUUAGAGCAAAUAAGACCGUGUUUAGUAGCAGAAGAAUUUUGCAAAAUGAUAAAAAAUAACUAAUUACAUAAUUUAUCUAUAAUUUAUGAGACAAAUUUUUUUAAAAUAUAUUAGUUUAUAAUUGAAUAACAAUUAUCAAAUACAAACAAAAAUAAAGUAAUAACACUUUGCAAAUUUUUUUUAGAAACUAAACACGUUCUAGAGACUCGUGGACUGAAUAUUAAGACGUACGAAAAAGAAGGAGAGAAAAGAAACGGAUCCGCUGGCUAAAAAAGUAACCGUUACUAAUACCGUGGGCUUUUUCGCUGGUAUGAAAAGUUAAGGUUAAAAUUAUUUUUGGCUGGUUUAUUGGAAGAGAAAAAUACUACUUGUAAAAAAAAUAGCUGAAAAAACAUUAUUUUAUAUUUAAAAAUUAGUGCCGAUAAGUUCCAGCCAAAACCUGCAUAUGCAAGUGGCCGUCGGUUGCAAGCUGCUUCGCUAAUCCAUCCAGUUCCAACCUCGCUCGACACUGUCACUUCUGCCUCGCUCGGGUGUCGCUGCUUUCUCUGCGUGCUCUACAGGCGGCAAACAAUAUUUUAGUGCCUUGUUUACUUCUAAAAAAUUUUGCAAAAUAGAAAUAGUAGCACUUUCGUUUGUAUUUGACAAAUAUUAUCCAAUUAUAGACUAACUAGGCUCAAAAGAUUCAUCUCGUCAAUUCCGACCAAACUGUGUAAUUAGUUUUUAUUUUUAUUUAAAUUUAAUACUCUAUGUAUACGUCUAAAAAUUCAAUGUAACGGAGAAUCUAAAAAAAAUGGUGCAAAAUUUUUAGGAACUAAACAAGCCAAGCCAAGGCGAUUAGGCGAGACCACGCAAGAGAGAGGGGGGGGGGGGGGGGGGGGGGGUACCGUACCGGCUUUAUCUGUGCAACUUGUCCACCACGGUUGCCGCGUGCACAUUACUAUUUGUUGUAGUUGUACGCCGAGGCCCCCCUGGUCCGUCAAGAGCCGUGCCCGGCCGCGUCUCUGUCCGUGACGUGCGUGUCGUCCGCAUGGAGUCCAUCUGUUGGUGACGAGGCACGGCCAGGAACCGGUGGAUCUGCCGCCCCAGCGCCAGGCUUGUGUUGUGUCUCAUGCGCGUGCCGAAUUGCUCGUCAAAUUUGGGUGCAUGCAUAUUUAUGUACUAGAUGAGCGUAAUCGUAGUACGAAUCUGCUGUCCUGCCUGCGCGGCGCUCAUCAAUUUUGGACGUACUAAUAAGCAGCUGGCACAUAGUAGCUCAGCAGCAUGCAAUGGUACUGACGAUACUGCUAAGAGUGACAGUCCGGCCCAUGGCUUACUCCACAAAUCAGUGUGCUACGACAUCACUACUACACUACUAUCUACACCGUCUCUUGGGUUUAUUUUGUUUGCUACUCCGAUCCUAUCAGUUGCCGACCAUCUAUCCUGCUGACGACGAUCGAACCGGCGAGCCGUACUUCCACCGGCCACGCCCCACGCGCCAUGCAUCUCUCCUCCGACCUCCCGUCCUCUCCUUGGGCCGGCCGUCGCCGGUGCCCCUGCCCGGUGUCGUAGCCGAGAAAACCGGGCGAAACGAGCAACAUUCCCCUGAAUUCUGAGGCCUCCCGAGCCGGGCGCCCAGGCCGGCUAAUUGUGGAGUACUACGCGGGCGCCGUCCAGAGAUUCCGAUGGCCUGGCUGAGCUGGACUCACAUCGUUGGCUCGCUAAGCAAUGGCGUUUUGUUUGGUUUCGACGCCAAUGUGUUGCACAUGCCCGAACUUCACGCCCUUGUGUGUACUCCGUACUAUGCUGCAAAACCACAACGAGGCCGCGAUUAAUUAAAUACUAAAGAGAUAAAGAAACAAAGGCAUCAGGACAAUGCAGUAUUCCAGUAUAUCUGUGUAUGUCUAUCCAUGAGAUACAUGUACGUAUAUCUAUAUAUGCCAGCGUGUACUAGUAUAACCUACUAGUAGUAGCAAACAUCCACUGCGCUGCGUCUUUGUUGCUGGACUGGAUGUGGAGAGGAAAUUAAGAAGAGAACAACUACUCGUACUUAUAUAAUACUUCUGUUGUAAAUUAUAAGUUGUCUUCAUUUUUAUAUAUAUUUAUUAUGUAUAUAGACAAGCCAAUAUAAAUAUAACAAAAGAAAUUAGAAGCAAUUUAUAAUUUAAAACGGAGGAAGUACGUAAAUACAUACUCCUACGUUAUUUAUUAAAAAAGUAAAAUACUCAUACAAAUACAAGAGAUAGAUAGAGAGAGAUAUACAGAGAGAGACAACAGUACAUCUAUUGCUUCGUUUCCAGAUCUAUCCUACAGUAUCCUUAUCCGAUGCAAUGGCCCCGUCUCCGCAGCGAAAGGCAUAGGCCGGCCCUGCUCCUCUUUCCCUGUUGCUGAUAAGUUUAGCAUAUCUAUCUACAGAAGAUAAUGUCAGCGAGCGGCGUGCGCCCAUGGGCUCUGCCGGGCAUUGUUUACUUCAAAAAAAAUUAUAAAAUGAGCAUAAUAGUAUUUUUAUUUAUAUUUUAUACAUAUUAUUUAAUUAUAGAUUAAUUAGAUUUAAAAGAUUUAUCUCAUAAAUUAUAGACAUGUAAUUCGUUAGUUUUAUUUAUAUUUAAUACUAUAUAUAUAUGUUAUAAGAUUUGAUGUCAUGGUAAAUAUAAAAAAUUUUGUAAAAUUUUUUAAAAACUAAACAAGGCCAGAUAGGUUAGCCUUCUGCCACUGCCAGCUACUAGCAGAGUACCCAAGAGCCUGUGGACUGUGGGUGACUGGGCGGACGCGGGGUGUAGCUGCAGCAGCCGCAUUACACCACACCACAUCACGUCAUAUUCAUACGGAGGGGUACGUAGUAGUAGAAGUAGACUACUGUACAUCUGAUCUCGGAAGCUACAGAAAUCUGAAGACUACUAGUAGUAUAGAACGUUAGAGUAAUUUGUAAGACGAAUUUUUAAAUCUAAUAGAUAGAUAUUAAUUAUCAAAUAAAACAAAAAUACUAUAAUAGUUAUUAAAUUUGAACAACCAACUAAACACCCUUUAGUACGUGGUACUUCAUAGAGAUACAUCUGCGCAUCUGUAGAUGGUACGACUACUAGUACUUGGGACCUGGAAAUUCGAAAUGUAGUAAAAUCUUUCGAUCUGAUGCACGGUUAACCAUGAUGUUUAGAAUGUUUCUGCUUCUUCUGUGUCAGAUCAGAUGAUCAUCAUCUAGCCUUCUAGGGCUGUUUUUCUUUUUCCUCCAUUAGCAGUAAGUAUACAGUUGAGGAGAAGAUUUACAUCGAAGCAAUGCAAGAAGAAAUGGGAAAUAAACAAACGAACGAACUAAGUGAGAUGCUUGCCGAGAAGGGACUAAAUUCAGCUCGGUGAACGGUGAUGCUACCAUCUGAGUUGAGCGAUCGGGCAAAAAGAAAACGACUAGCUGCUAAACUAGGGAAAGAGAAAGAUCGAUCGCUCCGUCCGUCGCAUUAGUCCGUCUACACUAGUGCCAGCUCCACGAGCUGCUUCUUGAACGCCGCCUGCGGGGGCGAGGCCAAGUCCCGGGCUCUCUUGCACCCGGCGGCCAUGGCCUCCGCUGGCGCCGCGGCGGUGGCGGCCGGCGCCGUCAGCAGGUCGACGCCGAAGAGACGCACGGCCUUCGUCGCCACCGGCGCCGGAGCCGGAGCCGGAGGCGAUGACCCCACGGCGGGGCCUGUCGUCGUCGAGGCGGUGGCGACGCUGUUGGGACGCAGCUUGCAGUCGAUGAAGAGCUUGGUGUCGGCGCCGGCGCCGACCGCGGACGAGCGGUAGAAGCCGACGACGUCGCCGGCCUGGAGGCCCUUCUCCUUGACGAAGCGGCUCCAGCCCUUGGUGAGCACGUAGCUCUGGCUGCUGUUCCAGUAGGAGUAGCGGAACCGCCACACCUUGCCCGCGGCGUCCUCCAGGUUGAGGAGCACGCCCUUGCUCUCGCCGCCGGCGGACGGGAGCUGCAGCGGGAAGUGCUUCUCGGCGUGCUGCUUCGGGAUCACCAGCCGGUUCAGCUUGCCCACGUCGCUCGGGGUCACCGUCUUGUCGAAGAGGUGCUCCCGAGCCGUCGCGGGGGAGGGCGACGCGAGGGAGGAAUGGUUGUUGUUGUUGUUGGCUAGUGACGAGGCGGUGGUGGUGGCCGCGGACGAGGCGGCGGCGGCGGCGGCGGCGGCGAAGGCGCGCUUGUUCUGCGCGAGCUCGUCGAAGUAGGUGUGCUUGCGGAGCAUGUCGACGACCUCGGCCUUGGAGCGUGACGCGAGGAACCGGAGCUCGGCGGCGGCGUCCGGGUCGGCGUCCGCGAGCGGGCGGAAGUUGGUGACGGCGUCGCGGCCGCGGAACCGCUGCGCGGCGACGUCGUAGGCGCGCGCGGCGUCGGCCUCGCCCGCGAACGUGCCGAGCCACACGCGUUGGUGGCGCUCGUAGAUCUGCGCGCCCCACCGCCCGUUGGGCUGGGGCACCACGCCCUUGUACCUGGACGACGGCAGCUUCCCGCCCACGCCCACCGCGCCCGGGGCGGCGGCAGCAGCAGAGUCCGCCUCGGCGCCCGGCUCGGCCGCGUCAAGGACCGCGCUGGCGCCGCUGCCCAUGCGCUCCAGCGGCGGGCCCGAGGCGGCGGCGGCGACGGCCAAAGCCCUUAGCUUGUCCGUGGACGCGCCGCCACCGCCUCCGCUGCCGCUGCUGGUGUCGUCCACGAGGCUGCUGGCGCUGUCCAUUUUCAGUGCACCACUGCUGGAAGCUGGCUAUAGCUGGGCUUGGGCACCGCGUAUGUAUGCUUCUGUUCCGGGGAGAUGUUUGUAGUGUUGUAGGAUAGGUUGAGGAGGGGGAGGGUGCCGAGGGAUAUAUAGCCUCACCGGUGGGUGGGUGGAAACUCACUGGAGACUGGAGAGAGCGCGGCGUAGGAGAGGUAGCUGUUUUCUGGGGACUGCCACGCCGUAGGCCGUAUAGCCAUACCGCUACACCCAUGUCUGCGUGUGCAAAUGGUUUGGUUACGUUCCGCCUUCGCGGCCGUGUUUUGGGCUUGUUUUCUUGUGAUUUUUCCGGUGCUUGGAGAUGUUGCCGCGUUGGAUUGGAUGCAAGUAAUAUACUCCUACUACUAUACUACCGUACCAGUACGACGAGACGUCAUCACAUCACCCUGUGGCCGUGGCCCGUGGGUUGCUAGUAGUUUCGGCGAGUGUGGGUGACUUGAGCGUGGGUCAGUCAACUCGGGCCAAUCUCUCACGGGGCAUGCGCCGAGAUCAACCUAUAAGAUAUUAUUAGCCCAUAUGGAAAGGAAAUAAAGAAAAGAUUUUUUUUUUCUUGUUCUUGUUGCUGCUGAAGUGGUGCUGAUGAUGCGAGCAAGGCUGGCUGGCAGCCCACAGGUGCUGGCUUUGCCAUGUCAUCUCUUGAUCUCUUUCUAUCUUUGGCCUUUGGCCUUUUGCACUCAAAGAUACGGCAUUUUUUUAAAACCUUAUUAGACGUCCGGCCGUCCGGGGUUUUGUGUGUUUCAGAUUGGUCGUGUCUCAUAUGUGUUGUUGUUGUUGCUGCUGUUGAAUUAUUGGUAUAGACCUCUCCCUCACUCUAGAAGCUUGUAGAGGCUAGAGAGACAGGUAUAUAUGUAGCAUCAACACAGGAAAAUCCUUUGAUGGGAAUGUCAUGGAAUUAGAAACUACUACUCCAUCCCAAAUUGUAAGUCGUUUGACUUUUUUUACCCCAAAUUUGACCACUCGUCUUAUUCAAAAAAAUUGUGCAAAUAUAGUCAAAUUUUAAGUCAUUCUUGAAGAACUUUUAUUAAUAAACCAAUACACAACAAAAAAAAGUGAUAUUUUGUACAAAACUUUGAAUAAGACGAGUGGUCAAAUUUGAUAUUAAAAAAGUCAAACGACUUAUAAUUUGAGAUGGAUUGAGUAGAAAACAACUUGCAUUGGUAACUAUCUUGUUGUACAAGUGACAGAUGCGUGGAGACAUGCUCAACCUGGGAGAAUAGUCCAAAACGCCGGAGAGGCUUCCUGCAUAGGAACAUCACUGUUGCUUCCUGUUAUUGAAUUGUAGCCUAGACGAUGACGCUUUGUUAGGUUUAUUACACAUUCCUUAGUCAUUUCUGAAUCAAGGUUGUUUCCUGGGAUAUGAUAGUUCGCAGAGAUGUGAACUAAAUACAAAAAAAGUCAUGGUUCAACAAUCUUCUCGGAUGUGUACACUUCAAGUUCAACAAUCUGAAUGUGUACACUUCCAAGCAGUUGCUCCAUAACACUGUAUAUACUAUGCUUAUUUCAAAGAGAAAAUAAACUCUCGUAAUUUUGAAGAUAUGCAUCUCAAAGGUCCUCUCCCGUAGCUUUUAUCAGAACUAUUCAAAGGAGGAAUAAUAGGUCCCGCAACAGGGCGCCAAUGCUACAAUCAACCAAGUUGAAAUAAUACGAACCAACUGAGUGUACUUAUACAGGUAGAUCCAGUCAACACUGAGCGUAUUUGUCUACGAAAAAUCUAUUACCUUGAUGCAGUCCAGAUAUAAAGAAGAACCCGGGGUAGAAUAAUAGAGCAGCAACAAAAAUAGGCGAUUUUUUUCUAGAAAAAAUACUCCAUCAAUCCAUGUUCUUAUGCGUGCUAAGAAUAUUUGUGAGACAUGCUCCCUCCAUUCCAAAAUAAGUGUCAUUCUCGCUUUUUAAGAGUCAAAUCCUUUUGACUUUGACCAUAAAUAAAAAUAUUUUCCCAAAAAAUAUAUAAAAUUUAUUAAAAUUUAUAAUACGUAAUUAUUAUUAUUAGAUAUAACAUAGAAUCUAUUUUUUAUAAUAAAAUUAUUUGGAUAUAUAAAUAUUACUUAUUUUUUCUAUAAACCUAGUCAAACAUUAAAAUGUUUGACCAGAUGAUUAGAAUCUAUAGUACCUGUGUUGGUCAAACUUUUAGGAUAUCUUGCUAAUAUUUGUUAAUUUGUCUUUUUUUCAUAAUAGCAUAUCUUGGUAUAUUUUUAUGAACCAAAUAUAUCUAGAGGUUAUCAUUAUCAUUGAUGAUUAGAAUCUACUAAAUCUAUGGCAAAAUCUUUCUGAUUUUUUGAGAAUUUCUAAGAUAUUUUUGUUAAGGUAUCCUGUGAUAUGAUCAACGUGGAUGCUCCUAUAUAGGGACCUCCAAUUAGUAGUAGUAAGAUUUGAUGAAAUAAAGUUAUUUAAACAUAUACAUUUAAUAAUAAAUAAUAAGAACAAAAAGGCUUGACCAGAUACUUUCAGACUUCCAUAGCUCCAGCUCUUGCAUUUUUUUUGAGUUAGGGAUGGCCAACUCUAAGAAUUGUCGGAGUUGGGUUGUGCAAAACAUGGCCUAAAUGUCGUGCAACAUAACUUAGAAAUUAGAGCAUCUCCAAGAGACUAGGUAAAAUUAUAUUCUAAACUACAAGAUUUAGCCAUUGUAUAAAAUAAAAAACUCACUCAAAGCAUAGAGUUCCACAACAGCAUUUGUAUAUGAUAGCUAGUAAGGACAAUAUGCUAUAUAUGACAAGGGAAAGUUUAGGAAUAGCAAAUCAGAUAGCACACCUGUUGAACUUUAAUUUUCACUUUGAAAAUGUAAAAUUAGGCUAGAUAACAUGGAUAGUAUAUGUGUUGGAGUUGCUCUUAGGAUGUUAUAUCGUGUGAGUUCUAAAAGAACGAUGGCUAGCUAUAAUUUAAUUUAUGUCUCCAAGGUCUAUUGUCUAACUGUUUCUGGCUCCAUUUGGUGUUUUUAUUCUCCAUCUGGGUUGGAUUCCACCUUAAGCUUUGUUUAGAUGUUGUCGGAUUCACCUCAAUCCACAUGUGUUGGAGUAGAUUGGGAUGGAAUUUAGUUUAAGUUCCACUCCAACCUACCUCAACACAUGUGAUGCGAAUCCGACUACAUCUAAACAAGACCUUACAUGUGGAAGAACGAAGCAGCAAAACACACAUGAAAAAAGCAUGAGAGCUUUCAGAGGUUGGCUGUUGGCUCUACUCUACUUGAAAGAAUGGGAAAGGGCUAAGCAUUUCAGAUACCCUUUUGCACACUGUUGGUUUCAUAUUCAUCUUAUACUCCAAGGAGUAUAUAAAUUAACAAAAGCUGUUCCAAGGAUAACAUUUCCCUGAGCAGCAGUUGUUGAUGAUACUACUCCUACUCCUACUUGAUAUACGCAUGUCGGCGCGUGCAUGCGGCCAAUUCCAAACCGGCAAGUUGCGUUUAGAAUUUGGCAGCAACAGAUGGGUGCGCGCUGUGCGCUGUGCGUGGCUGGAUAGAUAGAUAGAUGUCUCCAGGGGCCGCCCCCGGCACGUACUACGCGAGCGAAAACAACAGCGCGCCCGAGAAAUCUGGUCAGAUUUGUUGCAACUUGCUGCUCGUGCUCGCGAGCUGAGGUUGCCAGCCCCGGAUGUGCCGAACGUCAAGUGGAUGCCGCCACGAAACAGUAGAGUAAUUAAUUGCAACGGCGACUCUCGCUGCAACUUGGGCAUAUUUCGCAAAAUGGAUAUUAUAGUAUUUUCGUUUGUAUUUGGCAAAUAUUAUCUAAUUAUAGGCUAACUAGUUUUAAAAUAUUCGUCUCGUAAAUUAUAGGUUAAUUGUAUAAUUAGUUAUUUAUUUUAUUUAUAUUUAAUGUUAUAUGUAUGUGUCACAAGAUUCGAUGUGACGGAGAAUCUGAAAAGUUUUGCAAUUUUUUUUGGAAACUAAGGCCUUGUUUAGUUCACGUGCGAAAAGUUUUUGGGCUAUAACACUUUCGUUUGUAUGUAGCAAUUAUUGUCUAAUUAUGCACUAAUUAGAAUUAAAAUAUUCGUCUCACAAAUUACAUGUAAAUUAUACAAUUAGUUAUUUAUUUUAUUUAUAUUUAGUGCUUUAUGCAUAUGCCGCAAGAUUUAAUAUGAUAAUGAAUUACAAAAAAGUUCAGAUUUUUUGAAUAAAAGUAAACAAGGCCUAAACAACUCAUCAGUCAUCACGCAGGUGAGUCAUUCGUACAUGUAAUCAUGGACGACAGAUUUCAUUUCAGAACCGCGACGCGCGUAUAUAAACAAAUAAAAUCUCUCACAAAAAAACGCGCGCGAUGGAUUGGGGAGGCCGGCGAAGACCAAGACUCGGGUGCCGGUCUAAACCGGUGACGUUUUGUACUGCAUGGUUUUGGUGGGAGGCAGCAGCUAUGAUUGCAAUGGUCUGCUGGCUGGUGUACGUGCAUGUGGUACCAACAACAACGACGUAACCUUUGCAUUGGGCGAGCUCUAGAGAGGUAGGCAUACAGAGAGAUGCUCGCUAGGAAAUUGGAGGAAGUCCUUUGUGACUAGGAGUGGAAAAUUAGCAACAAGGAAGACCUUUUAUUUGUGAUGCCAAAGACUUCAAUUUCCAACAACAUGAUGCCAUCUAUCGUGCGAGCUUGAGUUCAUUCAGUCUGUCGUUGUCUAGAAUAAAAACUAUGGGAGUGGAGAAAAGGUUGACUGUUUUUCUUUUACGUUUAAUUACAUUAUUCUCUGUUAGACUAGAUGUGCAUACGCCAUUGCCACACGUAUGUCUGACGAGGCGGACGUAAAUAUACAAAGUUUUCUCUCAUAUAACAACAACAACAACAAUAAUAUAAUAUAACAAAUUUAGAUGUGCACUCUAGCCCUCAGUCCCAAAAUAAACGACUACCUUGUAUUUUGAUGAGUCAACUAAUUUUAAAUUCAACUAGAUUUAUAAAAAAUAGUAUCAAUAUUUUUAUAUCUAAUAGACUAACUACUCAGAGGGAGAGAAUAAUUUUCCAGUAGCAGAACACAGUGUCAAGUUUGGCGGGCGCGCUGUAUAUAUGAGGUUGAGGACCAUUUGCAUGCAUGCUCUCCUAUCUGAUCUAUCACGGACUUCCUUGCGGUCGUAGAUUCCGAGCCAUUCGCCAGCUGAUGUUUCCUUCGUGACCUCCACUCCAAGUCAUCUCGCUCCCAGUCAUCGUCCGUCGAUGCACUCCACGAUCUGCCAAGAAUAGAUUACUUCACAAAAGCAUGCUACUAGUACGUGCUUCUAGAAAAAUGCCCUGAUGAAAACCAAGCCUGAAGUGAAACACGUCUACGCACACACAUAAAAAUGUUGUGCUACCAUAUCUAAUUUCUUAUGGGUGGGGUGGGAAACAAAAAGUGCUAUUGUAUUCUUUUUUUUAAUCCAUGUUGCACAUCUGACCCAGCAGUUCAGCACCAUGGACUGGACCAUGAUGCUUCCAAUCCAUGCAUGGCAGGGCGCGAGGCCCCGGUAUAUGGGGCUUGAGGUUGAGGGGUGGGCCCAGACGAGAACGAGAUGAGGAGGCAGGUGGAUGAGGGAGGAGCGUGGCAAUCACAUGAAGUGUGGACCCAACCCAAGCCCAGGUGCAGCCCCCCACAAAACAAUUUGCAGCUGUUGCACAGGUGCUGACCGCUGACAUUGCCAUUGCCAUUACCAUUGCCAUUGCUACCAGUAUUUGGGCCUCUUCUCUCUCUGUUUCUAUCUCCUGUGCCUAUCUUUCCAACCAUUUGUUUGUUUUUUUGUCUUUUCCUCUAAAUAAUGCAGCAGAGAGCUAGCUAGGGAGAUGCGAUGCGAUAUUCUAUCUGUUGAUUUGGCUAGCUUAGCUGCAGAUAAGGAGGUCGACGAGGCGACGACGACAAGACAAACUAUAUAUACAUGUCCGUUCCACGGCGUCCACUUGUUUAUCUCGGAUGGGCCGGAAGAAUGCACUGCUGUCCGUCCCAGCUUGGGAUAUGGUGGUGGUUUCUUGUUCCUCGACCCUCUCUUGUUCGGCUUUCAUUGCAGUAUACUCCUGCUCCUAGUAGUAACUAGUAGCAAGUGGCUGUGUUUUUUUUUUCAUCCAUUCUACUGUAAUUUUGGAGUUGGAAUCGUCAUCGGAGCAGAAAAGGACAACGAGCGCUAGCUUAUUUGUAUACACGUAUCUCAUUCGUUCCUAUCUGAAAGUUCACGUGGAAACAUCUGCGCUUGUUGCGUGUUUAUUUGUACACGUAUCUCAUUCUUCCCCCCCUUGCCCGGCCUGUGUGCUGCUCACGGAUCCAUCCAUCUCUCGUCCAUAGAAAGCGACGGUGCCAAGCCACACGACAAAUUCAAGUGCUAAUCUGCCUUUUCAGCUGGCCUGUACGUAUGUUUUGCCAUCAUUCAGACUCCGCUAGCAUUGCAAUUCCCAUGGUGGAGUGCAUAUACUCCUCUGUUCUCUGUUAUUUGAAGUGCCGAUAUGGUAUUCGUACUGGUUAUUUUUUUAAAAAAAACUAAUUUAAUUUAUAAAAAAUAUUAACAAUAUUUGUAGCUUUAUAAAUUUAUUAUGAAAAUAGAUUUAACGAUAUAUCUCAUGAUGCUAAAUUGUACUAUAAAUAAUAAUAUGUUUCAUAUAUCCCAUCAAAGUUAAAUAUGUUUGACUUUUCGGAAAUGACAUGUGGAAAAGUGAGAGCACAACAGUAAAAAAGGGAUAGAGUGACUCUAUGCUACUCCCUUCAUUAUAAAUUAUAAGAUAUUUUUAUUCUUUUAUAAUUUAAUUUAGAAUGUAGGGAGUAUUUUCUUAGAUAUAGGAAACAUCCCCAGCCUCUGCGUGUAUAUCUAAUAAAUUCAAAAGGCCCUUAUAGUCUGCUUAAGGUAUGAAAAGUGUACCAUGAUUAUAAUUAAGUUGCUUCAAGAGACAGAAACACGAAGCAUUUUUACAAGCAGCUUCACUACCAAUUGCUAUAGUAGUAGUAGGUGUUUAACUAGGCUGGCAAAUAAUAGAGUCCUUAAGUUUUCUUUUAAGGGCCUUUUGAAUUUUAGAGUAAUCAGUUCAUUUCUUUUUACAAGAAAAACGUAGGAAUCAGUUCAUUAUUUGGGGGGCGUGCUGCAGGAGUCUACUGGAUUUUUGCUGCGUCAUCGUUUGUCAAAUGUCACUGUGUCUUCUGGUUGCGUCUUGUGCCGUCGUGCAGCCCCGCUAGGCAGCAGGCUGAGCAGAUUAAUGGUUCGGUUUGCGCACCCGGCAUAUCUCGUCGCCCUGGUGGUGGUGGUGGAUCCCAUCACCGAUCACCGUUAAAAAGGGGGCCCUCACGGCAAUACACUCACGGCCUGAUAUGAUCCUCCACAUCCUUUGACAGUUUGACAUGAAAAAAAGUGCGAGGAGCCGAAAAGGAAAAGGUAACAGAUGGACUGGGGGAAAAAAGAACAACAAACUACUCACAGAAACGGAUAUAAAAGGUUAAAGCGGCGUCGUUUGCUUGUUCCCGGGCCAGCCUUCACGUGUUUCAAUUCCAACUUGCCGGCUAGUCAGCCAUUGUCUAUCGAAUCUACUAAUUAUUUAAUAGUGUUUUUUAUAAAAAAUUAACGAACAGUACUUUUAGUCAUAGUUUAUCAGCCAAGCAAAUGUGUUCGUUAAUGCCUCGCUUACUCCACAGACCCACACCACACCAAAUGUCCAGUUGCCGAGUUUUCUUGUCAGUAGUUACGAAGGGAGUACCUACCUACCGGCCAUUACUUAAAUCAGGAGUUCCUAACCUAAUCAGCCCAUUAUUAUUCACUGAUUCAGGCAGGCAGGCAUUCGGCGAUCCUUAUCCCGACCGCGGCAGCUCCCGCCCAUGCCCGCCGUAUCCCGUAUCUCCUCCAUCUGCAUGCAUGCGAUCCUUGUGCCAAUCCGCGCAUCUGCGCCUGCUGUUCUCUGCCAUCAUUCACCUCAUCUCAUCCCCGUCUCCACCGACCCGCGCGUGACUCCUCCAGCUCGGCGGAUGCCGAUCGGCCCAACAAGCCGCAAAAUUAUUAUUAAUAUAUAUACUGCACAUAGGAGUAUGUACCACUCACCUAGGACUUGUUUAGUUCAUCCUGAAAACCAAAAAGUUUUCAAUAUUUUUCGUCACAUCGAAUCUUGUGGCACAUGUAUAAAACAUUAAAUAUAGACGAAAACAAAAACUAAUUAUACAGUUUAGCUGUAAAUCACGAGACGAAUCUUUUGAUCCUAGUUAGUCUAUAAUUAGAUAAUAUUUGUCAUAAAUAAACGAAAAUGCUAACUUUUCGCAACUAAACAAGGCCCUAGUCACCUGACACUCGCAACAAUGCAUGCGGUGCCCUGGAUGGAUAGCUACUACCGGCAGCUCAUCUGCACUCAUAGCGCGCAUGUGUUCCAUAUCACCGCAAAAAAAAAAAAGUGCACCAAGUUUUUAUUUGGCUGUAUAGUUUAUUUAUCCAGUCUUAUGUCACAGCUUGCGUAAGCCUGUUAGUUACACGUCAGUCGUCACAUGCACGCGCAUGCUACUUGCUUUCUAAGGCCAGUGUCAGUGGCAUAUUUUUUUCUAAAACAAAUUUGCUGACAGGGCAUCAAUAAAACAAAUAAUGAAACAAUCUCCACAGUGUAUGAGUUCACUUUGACAUUUCCUAGACUGAGUAAAGCAUUUAAUUACUACAAAAUGAUUGGAUCGCAUGCAAGAUGGUGAAACGAUUUAGCCUUUAGUGGGGAUUUCAUCCCGUUUCACCGCGUAGGAAACAACGUCCGCGGGGUUUCACUAUGGUAAAACUACUUCCUUCUCUCUUCUCUUGGUUUCAUACAAAAAGUGUAGCUUUGCUGAUAUGACGCUCUAAUAAAUAUGCAUGACAUCCUAGUGAAAUCACCAAUUCUAACCACCACUUGUUUAGCUCUGAUUCCAGCUCCAGGUGUGCUCCGUGAACGUUGCGGCUAGAAAAAAAAAAUCCUCGGGUUUAUCCGACGACGACGAGGGCGCAAAAUUAAAGCUAGCGCUGCCGCCUGCCCGUCGCUAUCGGUAGAAACGAAGACGAUGCUGUCACUAAAUUAGGCGCGUGUUGGCGAUUUAAUUUGCAUGGUUGUUUAAGACAAAAAAAGGGCAGCAGCGCGCGCCAUUCACAGUUCUGACCAAACGGGGCUGCUGGUCCAUUGGAGGAGGUGGCAUCCGAUCCUCCUCCUCCUCCUCCUCCUCGCGCCAUUUCUUUCGCUUUCUUUUUAAGCCGGCCGGCCCAUGUGAAGAUUGUUUUGCACGGCCGUUCCCCUGGAUUUCAAAAAUGCUCGCUCGCACCGUCGCACGUAUAGGGUACAAAUAUAUAUGAUUUGAAUAUUUGAUGCGGAUCGAGAAGCGAGAUGGUCUCAUACAUUUUGUUGGUGGUAGUAAGUAUAUCAUCGUCAUCAGCCACUAAACAAGCACACCUUAUUAAGGUUCGGACUUUUGCGUUGGCAUGUGAUUAUGAGUGACUGGUACGUGUGUGCAACGUGUCGCCAGGGGAAUUUUCCGGUACCGUGCCUGUGGGCUGGGAAUGGUACGUGUUCACGGGUUCCAAUGGAACCCAUUGGAGUGAAGUGCUAAUUUUACGUCCAAUUUUUCCUUUUAGUUACUCACUCUAUCCCCAAAAAAAAUUUCGUUCUUGAUUUUUCUAUAAAUCAAAUAAUUUAACUUAACUAAAUAUAUACAUACAAAUAUUAAUAUUUUAUUACAUAAUCAGUAUUAUUUGAUAUAUUAUUGAACUUAUUUUUAUAAUAAAUUUAUUUGAAGAUACAUAUAUUGUUAUUUUUUCUAUAGACCUUGUUAAAUUUAAUAAAAUAAAAUUUGAUCGGCAUGAAUAAUUUAAAGUAAAUUAAAUUAUUUAUACCAACAAAUAGUAUUAAAUUAAUAUUCAAAGAGAUAUAUAUAUAUAUAUAGCACAUACUAAAAUAGUUUCAAUACAUCAUUAGUAAUAUUAAAAUUAAAUAAAGAGUUUUACUAAAAUUAAAUAAUAAGUCACUAGCCACGGAAAAAACUUUUAAAUAGAUUCAUUAGUGGGAAAUUUCCGCAACAUUCAUUGACCAGCGAAAAAUGCAAAUACUAGCACUGCUAAAAAAUUGACGACGAGAAGGAAACAAUAACGGCCCUCGUCCUUGGAGUAUUUAGAUCACUGGACUCUCUAAUUUACCUAGUGCUGCGUACUUUUUUUAGAUAAUGGAUAGAAGAAUCCGACCUCUACGUUCUGGGAUGUACACGGCCAAAUAAUACAAAGUUAAGGAAAAAGAGAAGCCUUAGUCUUAUAGAUCGACCAGGACGCUAGUACAAACAAUAAAUGUGUUUUCAUCCUUUAUUGGAUAACUCUAAAGCAAUUACUUCUAAUUACUUGCUCAACGUUGAUAGUGCGUCCACAGCUAUCUCAUCAUGCUGCAACGGGGCCCAAGUUCGUAACCAGUAUGCUCCUCUGAAAAUUACCUGCAUAAUGGAGUUAGAUUUCGUUUGAUUAAAAAUAACAUCAUUACGACAUCUCCAGAUUGCCCAGUACAUGGCAGCCACCCACACCCAGAUCAGAUUUCUCAUCCUUUUAUUUUGAUUAGAAAGUCAACCACCAAACAUGUGGCUGAUUGAUCUGGGUUGGGUUAAAUUAGUAGCAAAAAAGAUAAUCCUCCAAAUCGUCUUGGUAAGGGGAUAGUCUAGGAAUAGGUGUUGGAUAGUUUCAUUCCUAUUACAGCUAAUGCACUUCUGACUGCCCUUCCAAUUUUUUGGCGAGGUUAUCUUUGGUCAAAACAACACCUCUUUGUAAAAACCAGAGGGAGAUCUUAAUUUUUAGAGGAAUUUUCAUCUUCCAGAUCUUCUUAUGGUGAAAAGGUGUUUGUGU